Molecule: long non-coding RNA, 51029 nt
Filed under: Phoenix dactylifera (date palm)
Lineage: Eukaryota; Viridiplantae; Streptophyta; Magnoliopsida; Arecales; Arecaceae
Description: long non-coding RNA (PDAC_LNC005080)
Source: RNAcentral
CCGAAGUAGCCGCUCGUCCUCAUCAGCACUGUCUUCGGAACCACCGUGUUAGGUUUUCUUUGUUAGCCGUAAUGAGAAGCUCUUAAAGUUCGCUUGGGCGAUGACUACGAUGAAAUCGCUAUCAGAAAGCUAGUUCAAAACUAAGGCCCUUCCCCGUCAAAGUCCACUAUCAACUAUUGAAAAAAUAUUAUUUACAAAUUGCAAUAUCAUUAUCUUAUAAUAAUUCAUAAAAAAAUAAAUUUAGAAGUUUGAAAAGAUCUUGUCUAGAUCGAGAAGUGUAAAUAAUAAUAUUCUAAAAACAUGAUUCAUCUCUAGGUGCGGGUCUACAACAAUCUGGAUCAGCCCGAUCCUCUUGACUGAUCCUUUAAGAUUAUCAGAAAUAAAAAAGAUACAAAGUAUAAAGUUGAAAGAUGAAAAAAUUCUCUAGAAAAACUUUUCGAAAGGCAAAGAAGUAGUGAGAAAAAGAGAGAUCGAAUUAUUUUUGAAUUAAUUCCGGAAGAAAAACCGAAGUAAUAUUUUGGAAAUACUAUAUUUUUUUCGGGAACUAACAUUUUUUUUAAGAGUUCUAGUUCUUCUGAAAAACGCAUCUCACAAAAAAAUAUUUUAAAAUAUUUAAAACAACUAAAAUUUAGAAGAUAAGAAAAUUUAAUUUUUUAAAAAUUAAAACUCCAACAUCAAUUUUAUUAAAGGUUUGAUUUGAAUGUUAGGUUCAGCUGCACUAAGUGCCACUGCAGAGAUUCACUUAUAAUGUUGCAACAAAAUUACGUUAUCCUAGGCUUUUAAAAAGUAAUUAUAUUAUUUCGCCUAUGCUAAACCUUUUCUGAGUGUUUCAAUGUUUUAAGUCAUAAAACACGUAGGGUCCUUGGUUAUCCAUGAAAUGAGUGCACAAGUGAUUGCGUAACACACAAAUCUCAUGUCUAGAUUUCCUAUUGCACAUUUCAACUGGCAACCCAAAUCUUAUUUGGCAUAAUAUAUACGCGAGAAAAUAGACACGGAGAUAGUAGCCCUUUUUCUGCAUGAUUUCCGUAUUACUCGGUAAUUUUUUAGCUAAACAUGAAUUACUAAAAAAAAAGGAAGCGAUGCAUACGAAGGACAACUAAUGACACAUUAUGUAGUGGUUUAAUAUCUCAUGUACUUCAAGAUGAGAUGUGUGGUGAACCUCCUCCUUAAUCAUCGUAUUUUAAUGAAGGCAAAGCCUAUCAAUCCCAGAUAACAAGCAAUAAUUCGCACAAAAUCAUAAUCAUUUAUUGAUUCAAAAAUGUGACUGCUGAAGUGCCAUUAUCUUUUUUUUUUAUAUCACCACAUCAUUACAUUAGCGAGAAGCAAAGCAAUGCAAAUAUCACCACUUAUUUCGUUUUAUCUCAUCGACUGGUUUCAAGGACAUUUUCCAUGACAUAAAAAGAGAAUAUGCAUGGGAAUGAUGCUGAUCAGGAUGAAUGAUAUUUCUAAAAGUUAACCAAAAAGAUAUUCUCCUGACAAUGAUAAGGGGAUUCCCACUAUAUCCAUUUCAAAAGAUUACUUAGAGAUCUGAUGGCAUAUUUUCUUACAUGGUUGGUGUCAUAUCACAAACUUUUUUUUUUUGGUGAAACAUGGGGAUGAUGAUGCUGAUAACUCUUUCUAAAAGCAAACCAAAAAAAGAUUAUUCUCCUGACAAUGACCAGGAGAUUCGCAAUAUCUACUUCCUCGAAAAAGCUCUCACUCACUUGUUGAUAAAGCCCGAAGAACCCCAGUGAAAGCCAAGUAAAGGCGCUGGAAAAAACGAAAAAGCUCGAAAAGUCUCGACCAAAGCUCUCCACUUGGUGCAGUACCCGCGAACAAACGUCUUUCCUCCCCCUUUCCUCUCUUUUUACCUCGUCCCCCGAAAUUAGGGUUAGGGUUUCGGAUUCCCCACCCUCCUCUCCCUCCGCCGACGACUCCAACGAAUUUAAUUCGAUCGAGAUGGGGUCCCUUUGCUCUCGUCAAUCACCGCUCUCCCCCGUCCUUCGCCCCCUCUUCCUCCCUUCUUCCUCGCACCUUCGCCAGUACGAGUAUUCCCCGCGCACCUACCCCGCCGAUCCCUCCUUUUUCAAAGAUUUUGUUGGAAUUUGGUAUAUUGGUCGGUAUUUCGUACAUUCGAUCGAAGCUCGCAGUGAGAGAAUCUCUGGUUUGGAUGGUUCCUCGUCCCGACCGAUUCCUUCGAUAAAAGAAAGUAUUUUAUUUAUUGGCAUUUGUUUUAAAAAAAGGAUCGGAAUCGUGGCUUUAUUAGGGGCUCCGACGAGACUUUUAUCCCCCGGUCGUGCUGCUGACGAUUCGAGGAAGCUUCGUAGCUGCUUCGCAGCAAGCUAUUGUCUUGUGAUUCCAUAUAUAGUAAUGAUUCGGACAUUUAAUUGAACCACAACGGUUGAGAGUGUCGGUUUUCGGGUUAGAAAGGGCUUUUGGGAGCUUGUGGAGCUGCCUUGCUCCCUUGAUUUCCUCGUGAUGGAUCGGAAGAGGGCCUAUCCGGAGGAAGGGGAGGACGACGGAGGAUCUCUUGUUAAGGAUACAAAGCGACGGCGAACCUUUCUUAAGUGAGUGAAUAGUUUGGGAGUUCUCUUAUCUUGUUUCUUUAUUACUAAGUGAUUGAUACUUGUUGUCUUAUGGGUUUUUUUUUUUUUGGCAGUUCAAUGAGAGAAGUAAUGGGGGCGAGUUAUAUACAGCGGCAUUUGCCAAAGUUGGAGCCUUUUCUUCGCAAAGUGGUAAGAUAAGUCCUGCUGUCAUUUUUGCAAUGCUUAGGAAUUCUACAGGAUCGGAAUCCUUUUCGAAAGUUCUUUUUAAGUAAGACUUUAUUAGGCUGUUAGCUGACUUCAGUUUGUGCGCAGAAUCAUCAUUGUAUUUAAUCCUUGUGUUGUUGUUCAAUUUCGUGUAGCUUCGUUUUGCCAUGUUGGCCCUUCUAGGUUAUCAGUGGAACCUCCCAGACCAUAUAAAUGUGGGCUACCUUGGCUGAUCCUUUCUACUUUGAGAAUGUUUGUUUUAAAACCCCCCACUUUUUUACCUCCCAGUAGCAAAGGUUGAUUCCUGCUUAAAGUAUUCAUGUUAUGUUCUAAUAUACUCCUCUGGUGACACCAUCUGUAUGAUGUAUUUAACAUCCAUAUGAGUUUGUGUCUCAUGGAUUCUUGCGAUUUCUGUACGGAUUUUUGAGGAUUUUUGAGGUGAUGCAAAUCCUUGGGAGCUUCCAAAGAGAGCUUGCCUUGCUUCUUUCAGGUUUUUGGGAACCAACAGUCCGCCCCACACCCUCCAGGGUUUCUUUCAUUUUGGUGUGGCACCAUAUUUAUCUUCCUUAUAUUUUUUUCAAAGUUAUUCCAUUUGACUUUCACUGUGAAACGUACCCAUUUGUAACAUGCUUUAGUUUUGGUUUCUUACAUGAGUAGAAGUGAUACUUGCAGCAUUUUAGAAUAAUUGAAACUAAAUACAGGUUUCUUUCACUUUUUCUAUUAUAACACAUAUGUAAUCGCAUUAAAGUUUGUUGUGAAAAAUGUAAAUAUUAAAUUAAUUACAAAUCUGGUAACUCUUAAAACAAGUGAAAAAUCAUGAAUUAUUAGCAUAUUGUCCAUGAUCUAUUCUCUCUCUCUCUCUCUCUCUCUCUCUCUCUCUNNNNNNNNNNNNNNNNNNNNCUCUCUCUCUCUCUCUCUCUCUCUCUCUCUCUCUCUCUCUCUUGUUGCCUAAUUUCUUUGAAAUCUUUCUUAAAACCUGUAUAUGUGGUUUGUUUUUCAAUUUCAAAUUUGUAACUUCCCUAAGAUUGUCUGAAAUUUCUACCGGAAUAUGUCUUCUUGCCAUUUUUUAAUUUAAAUUAUCAGAAGUAGUGAGGGGACCUACAUAUCAACCUUGUCGCUAGUAGUUCGUUACUUGCUUAUGUACUAUAAGCAAGUGUCCAUAACAUUGUUGAUUCAGGACUAAGAUUCAAAAAUCAGGCCUUGAUUGUGUUUCAGCUGGCCAUAUGAGCUUUGUUUUCUAUGAAUUUGCAUGAUUUUUUAUCCAGUUUAGGCCAAAAAUAACAAAUAGUUUAAACAAUAAAACAAGCAGGAAAAAAUAAGAGAAGUAUAAAGUUUUAAGAUAUGCUUUAUUGUUCAAACUGGUAUAAAUACGUCCAGUGGUUUAUGAGCUGAAACUAUGCACUAGUCAUUAGAAAAUGAAAAAAAUAGUUAUAUGCUCAUGCAUUACAUCAUAUUAGACUAUAUUAUAUAUAUUCUCUUGGUUGAGGACAAUCAUAUAUGAGACAUCCUAAACAUCAAUAUAAGAUUUGAGCACAGGCCUUGCAAUCUCAAGCUAAAAUCUUGCAUUUUCAUUUCUGAUAGGCUUGAUCUACUUCGCAACUUUCAGCUCAAACCUUGCUAAUUCUUUACCAUCUGGCUUUGUGUGAGGAUUAUAUUAUUUGGUUGGUCUCUAAUGCCUUCUGAACCAACAAUGGUGGUGUUAUGUAGAAUAGAGAUAAAAGAAAACCACCAACUUUCUUAGAAUGGAAAUAUCAAGGCAUUUGUUUAUUAUUAUUGUUGUAACAGUUCUCCAGGUAUUACUGCAAGUUUUUUUUUUGAUGUUGCCAAUCAUCUUUUGUUAGAGACUUCCAAGAGAUAUUAGUAUAUUAAAACUUAACUGACUGCCUCAAGCAACAAUGCUAAAGAAUAUAGCAAUCUUAAGGAUAUGCAGAAUCUAAGGGAAACCUUAUAUAUUAUAUUCUUAAGUGGUAAAUGAAGGCUAAGAACUGUAUUUAAUCCUGACAUACGGCUGCUUAGAACUCAAAGUAGUUGAGCAGAUCACACAACACACGCAAACUAAAAAAUGAAAAAAGAACUAAAAAGGAGUUUUGAGCACCGAACUAUGAUUAUGGGAGUAAACAUAGUUAAGCAGUAUAAUUAGCAUUUAUCUUCAUGAUAAUUUUGCGAGUUGAUAUUGUUAGUAUUUAUUAUUACUUAAAGCUAAUCCUUUGAGCUUCUGGCAUAUUGAAUUCUUUUUGUGGAAAAUCAGGUGCAAGAAGAGGUGCAAAAUGCUCUUUACCGAUAUGUACUCUUAGCUCCAAGGUAAAUUUUGAAAAUCCUUUUUGGGGUUUGAGGCUCGAGCACUGUAAACCCUUUCCCAGUUGCCCAAUUUUAUAUUUUGCGGUUAAAUCCAUCAGAUGGAUUCGUAUUGUUCAUGACAUCUGAUGCUUUGAAUCCAUGUGUGAAUAAUUAUGAUGUCAUGAAUAUGAUGCAUAAAGGUAAAUCCAUAUGUGAAUAAUUAUGUAUCCAUAAAACAUUUUUGUUUGGAAAAUAUUAGUUCUUUACUCUUUGUUUCCUUAUAUGAAAGGAAAAUUACUACAAACCCCACCCAUAUAGACAUAAAGAGGUAAAACUAGUUCGCCAGAGUAUUUGAAUAAUUGUUUUUAUAUGAAAGCUACUAUCUGACGCUGUAAACCUAUUAUUUUGAUGCUCGCCAUUUCCCAUGUCAUGCACGUGCAUGCAUAUUAACAUAAUUGUUGGUUAUACAUAUUGUGGUGCAGCAAAAAAUUGCUUGUUUGACAAAUUUUUAGGACUAAAUGCUUUUUAAGCCAUUUGGAUGUUCUAAUUUGUGUAUUUGUGUUGUGCGUGGUGUAGACUGCCCCUAAACCAGAUCCCACCCACUGCUAGCAGGCAAUAUCGGCUGCAUUUCCAAACUAGUGUGCCUGAAACACUGUUCACAGGAAGCAGAAUAGAAGCUGAAGGCAGAAAGCCUGUUGAAAUUGUCAUCAUCGAUUCUGAAUCAAAUGAGAUUAUCACAUCUGGCCCACUAUCUGCAAUCAAGAUUGACAUUCUUGUUCUUGAUGGUGAUUUUGGUGCUGAUGGAAAAGUGGAAUGGACCGAAAAGGAGUUUGGUGACAGUAUAGUACGUGAAAGGGAGGGUAAAAGACCAUUAUUGACAGGGGACCUGGUAAUUACUCUGAGCAGUGGAGUUGGUCAUCUUGGUGAUGUCACUUUCACUGACAACUCCAGUUGGAUAAGAAGCCGAAGGUUCAGGCUUGGUGCGAGGGUUUCUCAAAGCAGAUGCACUGAAAAAGCAAGAGUUCAAGAAGCAAUAAGUAUAGCUUUUUUGGUGAAGGAUCACCGUGGAGAAUGUAAGUCUUCUCCUGUCUAAGCUCAACUGUUUGAAAUUUUAUUUAGGAAAGUGAUUGAAGCUAAAUUUAUUUGAGUGACAAUGAGAGCAGACAAGAGCUUAUGUCGGCAUUAUAUGCCAACAAGCAACAUAAAUACCACGUGCCAUAAAAAUUCACCAUUGCAAAUUAUAUACUGGAGUAACACUGCUAUUAUAUGUACAUGCUGCAUCUGCAGUUCAGUUGAUAAGAUAGCUUUUGGACUGAUCGCAGAUAAGCUCUAAUAAAGCUUGAGCUUUUACAGAGGGUGUGCCAACGCUUGGUACGCCGAACCGGCUCUUGUACUGGGCGUACCAAUAUAGUAAUAGGGUGGCACCGGUAUGAAGGCCGGCUCCGAGACGGCAUACUAGAAUUCUUUGCUUGUUAUUCUAAUUGACUUUUGCUGCAGCUAUUUCUUAAGAAUAUAUUCUUAGCUGUACCAAAAUUUAUUCUUAUGAAUGAAGUAUCAGAAUAUUGAAUCUGGAAUACAUAUUAUAUAGAAUCUUUUGUGUCAUCAUUUUUUCUUAGUUUUAGCUGUCUAAACCUCAUCUGUUGAUUUUACAUCUGCAGAAUGCUUUGCGAUUUGAUUGUUUGCAGUUAUGCAUAUGAAUUAUAUUAUUUGGACCUUGUUGUUAUUUCCUUUUCUUGCCAUUCAUAAUCAGCUAUGGCAUGCCAAACACCUAAUUGCAUAUCUAGGUAUCAGGACUUGACAUUUGUCGUCAUUAGGUUGAUCAAAGAGGAUGGGAACUGAGAAAAUUUAAGUGAAACAUUUAUGUGGAUAUUAUCUGCCUAAUAUAUAUACCUUCUAGUAUAAUAUAUUUGUGCAACUGCUUGGUAUUGACUAUUGAGUCAUCUUCCCAAUAAUGUCAUGGUAUGCGCAUGCAUUAGAUUUUUGAAGGUUAUGUAUAGCUUUUUGUAUCGAAUAUGGAACUGCCGCUGCUAUUACCAUCUUGUCAUGCUCCGAUUUAUCAAAAAUUUAAAAGUUCCUUCUCUAUAAGUGCCAUAUGUGUAUGAUUGGGGUAAUAUUUUUUCUUUUUUAGCCUGAAAGUCCUUUCCUGUGAUCUGCUUAAAGACACAGAUAACCUUGAAACCAAUUUUAGAAAAUUAUUUAAUUGGAUGUAAAAUUAACGAUUGUUUAAGAUAGGUAUUCAUAUAAAACAUUUUGUUGGCAUGGCCCAGUUCUGGCAUAUCUUACAUAAAUUCGUGUUACUCUUCACUGUAUGCCAGUAGCAUAUGCUUUUAAGAGUUCUCUUUUGUCCUAAAAGAAAACUAAUUACAUUCAAAACUAAUUCUGUUCUAACUUUAUUCUAAUUUCAGUGUAUAAAAAGCAUCAUCCUCCUUUUUUGGGGGAUGAUGUGUGGCGUCUGGAAAAGAUAGGUAAAGAUGGUGUUUUCCAUAAAAAGCUUGCUGACAAUGGGAUCAACACUGUCCAAGACUUCUUAAGGAACUUGGUUAUGGAUCAAGACAGACUACGCAGUGUAAGAUAGCCAUAUUAAGUAGUUCUUUUGAGAGAUAUCCAUGCACAAAUUUAUAGUGCUAACGUUCUUUGCUUCCUUCCUGUAGUUCCUUGGUAGUGGGAUGUCAAACAAGAUGUGGGAUGCAACAAUUGAACAUGCUUGGGAUUGCGUUCUAGAUGACAAGAUUUACUCCUACUGCGAUGGACAGGGAAUCAUGCUUCUGUUCAACUCUGUAUAUCGGCCUGUAGGGGCAAUGCUUCACCAUAUUUUUUACCAGUUAGAUGAACUUCCUCCAACUCAUAAGGUAGAUUAUCAUGAUCCAGAAAAUUUAUGUUUUUGUCAAGCUAUUUACAUAAAUCUGCUAACAAUUUUUUUAACCAUUGUUGUCUGACCUUUUACUUUACGCAGCAUCUGUUUACUCCCCCUUAAUUCACUUAUGACAAACUUCCUUAAACCGGUGCUUGUGCCUUUUGGUCUUGUAUAUUGAAUUUACAUUACUAAUAUAUUCAGUUUUUCAUUUUGCAAUAUGGCUAUACUGCACUACUUAGUCCCGCAGUAUACGUUGGUUGGGGCCAACCUAUGCUGAUUAAUCGGUUUAAAGAAAUUCUCACAAAGAGACUCGACUGGCAAAACUUGAUCCUGCAUGUUUUAUGCAGCGGUCCUCAGCUUAUAGACCAAGUGAUGCAUCCAGGGAAACUUGAAAUGGCACUGUGCAGUGGAUACUAGUUCUUUCUCCAGCUUGUUGUGCCUUCUAUAAAUUUCUGCAUUCAUUUAAAAAUAAAUUUUCUUAUUUGUAUGCAGGCAGUGGUGAACAAAUUAAAACAAGAUGCGUAUAGAUUCCCAAACCAUAUACUCGAGUAUCGUGAACAACUGCUUGACAAUCGACCCAGACUGUUACCUACCGUUCCAGCGUCAAGCAUGUUGGACCCACAGAUUCGCAACCUCCCUGCCACAAAUCAAGGUAAGUGGAAUCAGAGCGCUUGAUGAGCCCGUCUCGUCCUUCACUCUUAGGCCUCCUUCAUAUUGUGGCCAUCCACUGAUGUCGUGACUUUUGACAGAUGAACCUUCUGAUCAAGUGUGCCUUCUGCAACGCGCUAGCUCACCAGGAAAUGAAUUCUUUGAAGAGCUAGCCCCAGGGAGAGACAUGUUUACUUCUGGGCAGUUCGCUCAUAUGGUUCAACGGCUGGAUUCCUUCCCACCAAAUAGUUUCGGCAUGAGGGAUUUCUGCGAUAUGCCGUGUGGCAAUUUCCAGAUAAGUGGGUCAGCCGGGCCUGCCGUAACAAGCGAGCACAUGAUGGGAUAUGCUCAAGAGGUUGGUACGUUGAGCUCUUCUCCCCGUCCCUUGCUUUGGGAUCAUAGUAAUUCCUUAAUUCAGACAUCAAUUGGCGAAACAAGUAGAAGCUGUGCACCUCGCAUGUCUGCUGUUGGUGCUCCCAUUACAUCAAGCAGAUGGAUCAAGCUAAUAGCAGCUCUGAAAUGGUUAGCAAUUUCGAGGCGCAGUGCUGCCAGAAGGGCACAGUCUCUGGAUAUCGAUUACCCGGCAGCAACUAUAGGUACAUGGAUUGAUGCACGCGGAAGAGGCUGGUGAGGUGGAGGGCGUCAUGGCAAGUUCAUGCAAAACACUUUCACGUUCGUCUUGAGAGCUUUGAACCAUGCUUGAGAUGGAGCCGAAACAGAGGAACUCAGUCUCUCUCCUGCAGAGGAACCUUUCUUAGAACUGUUUGUCAUGUGGCAGUAAAUUAAUUUAUUUAACUUGUUCAGUUUCUGUAUAUUGGAUAACCGUAGUGUAGGGGAGAAGUAGUUUUAGCUUGCGACUGUUCUUGGAUCUGCACAUAAGUUGUGUGUGUCAUUCAGUAUUUAUAUGUUCAACUGCUUUUAUUUGUCAGCACACUCUUGUUGGAGCUCUUUUCGCCUUUUUCCCGAGUUGUUCCUGCCUUCCUUGGACUCCACUUUGUUCUAUGCUUUGUCGGACUGCAAAUCAUAUGUAAAUAGGGAACGAACUGUGUCGUUUCAAGGGUCACCAUAGUUCUACGCCACCCCCCCCCCCCCUCCCACCGGGGUAGAGAGUCAUCAUGACUAGCGAAGAGAAUAGGAGGAAAUGGAGAAAUUUCUACGCCACAUUCCGUGAUGCUCUUCAUCGCUGUCCGUCCAUCUUACCAGCUCGCAUUAUUUCAGUAGGUGGCAACUCUUUGGGUUACUCGCAAGGCGUGAACCAACAUGACGUGCUAAAAAAGCACGGGAAUCCCUCCCGCAUAACGCCAACUCUCUCGGCCUCGGCUGCAAGGGAUGUCGCUCAUGGAUUCCUCUCUUCUUCCCACUUUCCAAGCUAAUUCGGUUCCCAUCGAGCCCUAUAUUUCUGGUGCUGGCUCAUUGCAAGCCGCAUCCAAGAGUGCUUAUCCACCAUGGCCAUGACGCUUGCUGAUUUGUGCCACUGCCACAGAAUCCCCCGGAGCUCCGACGUCAGCAUCGGGCUGGCCUUGUUCCUCGUGGUUCUAUCCGUGGUUUGUGGCCUCUUCACCUUUGUCUUAUGCCUCGCUGCCGAGGGCUCUAGGACUGAGGUAACAAUUAAAAUAUCCCAUGUGAUGCACAGAUUCUCCCCGGUUAAUUAUGAUCAUGAUAGCCGUAUUUAAAUCUGGUUAUUAACUUUCCUCUGAAUGCAUAAAGUCUGUAUCACCCUGUGACUCAUCAUGAAUACAUUGUCAGGCCACCCGGUAUAUCCUGAGCAACUGGGGUCAUGGCAGCGACGCAUCUGAGUGCAUCUACGACGCCAGUGGUCUCCGACCACUGGCGUUUGCUGUGGGUGCAUUCCUGUUGCUUGUGGUGGCCAUGUUCGCAGAACUUGCCUACAUGUUGGUUGUCAUCACAAGUCCUCAACCGCCGACAUUGGUAAUACCCUCGCCAGCUCCAUCAACGGUAAUGCUAACCUCGACAUCACGCAUAAGAACUCUUGCACGGCAGGCCCGUUUCCUUUUUCUCGCAACUUGGUAAGCAGAACCUUCAACCAGUGCAUCAGAAUUCAAAAUGCACCUAUCAUCAAUACACUGCCAUAGCAUCCAACCAUCGAAGCCUGCAUGCAGAUGUGGUUUGAGUGCGUUAAACAGGGCAUUGAAACCUCGACCCUUUGUAUUGUACUUGCAGGAUCAGUUUUGCCAUUGCUGAGGUGCUUCUGAUGUUUGGUAUGGCCGUGGAAUCAAGUCAUAUAUGCCAAUGGACAAAGCCAAGGUCCAGCUGCCAUGUAGUUCGACCAGGGUUAUUUGCAGCAGCAGGAGUUCUUGGAUUUCUAACGGUCCUCCUUGGAAUCGCCCUGUAUCGGACACAAACAUGGCACCAAUAUGCGCACAGGCGCCCAACACCAAGCGCACCGCCAGCACAGUGAGGGCAAAUGAAAGCCAGCCCCCACAAGAGACUCCGUCACCCCGACAAGACCUCAACAUCAGCAUCACUUGAAAUGGAUUUUGGGUAAUUACACAACCAUGUGCCCUGCAAUCGUUUCGCUGUAAUUGGAUUCAGUAUAAUCCAUUAUUUCACUACUUCAUAAGCUUGGAGCCCUCAAAACCAAAAGCCUGAGGCUGCCGAGCGCAUAGACAACAGGAUUUUCCUGCAAAAUAACACUACUAUGCCAUGAGUAUUCCAUACAAAUUUCCGAGUGGUUAGCGAUCAAACUAUCCCAAUCUGAGAGUGCACUGGAGUUAGUUCACCACCAAACAAUAAAGUGGCAACUUACAGAAAGCAUCAAACAGCUUAUUCAGCUCACUUUUUACAUGUUACCGGCAAACCACCCCAAGUAACCGAAUACUUGCAUUGCUUGGAGAGAGCAUAAAAAUAUUUCACCAUUCUUUUCGCCUGGACACUGUCGACUGGCUUAGUCGUUUUCCUUCCAUGGCGUCCUUCUUUCUCCUGCACUCAACACAGAGGUAAGGGCCCUCAGAUGAUCUUGACGUGGGUGAAAAGUGUGUGCCCGCAGUGGCAGAUAAACCCUCAUUUGGUGUUUGAUCCAUUUGGCAUAUUGCACACCGGAAAGGUGAUGAAUUCGCCUUCAAUGGGAAAUUUUUCCCCAAUCUACAUGAAAGCAGGUUUAGAGUGAGCAUCUACUCUAACGCACAAAUUGACAAUCAUAUUAUGCUGAACAUAAAUGGAAACCAUGCUAGGGUCAAGUGAAACCAGAUCCCCUGGUUGACUGGACACUCAACAACACAAAUAAUAAUCUUAAAGUCUACAAAGAGGCUUUUGUCACAGAAAAAAUCUACUUGUAAAGUCAAAUAUACUGCAACGAUGACUAACACACAGUAAAUUUUCAUCAAAUCAACCACAUUCAUUCGAGUUACGAUACAAAAUAGUUAUACGUUAAUCAGUUAAACUAGGUUGAUAAAUUAACUUUCCAACCAGAGCUAGCAGUUGUUGGCAUCUUCCAUAUUACAUCACAAAGAAUUUCUUGGCCCUCUUUGUAUGCACCGAGAUUCCUCUUUCAAGCUUUCAAUAAAUUGAGUUGACCCAUUUACAUGAUCACAUUUGCAAGUUCAUUAUACAAUAGCACCAUCAAAAACUCAGAGAGAAGAAUAGGACCUAGAGCCACCAAAGUCCAACUUGAUAUCCUUCAAUGGUUCAACCUUUAGCAUGAAUGAUGCAUAGAAAGAGAAAUGAGCAAGACAUCUCUGCCAGAUGGGCAUCUCAUUUGUUAUACACAUAUACAUGGAUCUUCCCAAUGAUUUUGUUGAAAUAUGGAUACAGAUUACCAUAUUACAAGUUUUGGGGAAUGAGAUGUGUGACAUCAAAAUUUAAAGGAUGACUAUAAAAUGAUAGAUGACCUUAUUGACAAGAUUAAGAGUAAUAAAAAUGUGUAGCUAUGGUGCUGUCCUGAAAGCAACAGUAGGCAGGAUCAAAGAUUUGAGAGAAUAUACCUCAGAAAAAUUAGAGCCUUCUGGUCAAGAUCAUAAAAUAAACUUCAAUUGCAGCUCUCUGGGAAUCUAGGAUACUUCAGAAAUUUAGCAGUGGAAAGAAGUGCUGGUAAUAUGGUUCAUACAGUGCUUUCACACAAAACAAUUUAGUGUUUCCACACAAAACAGGUACUUUCCAGAAUCUAAUGUUUUCCACAUAGAAGAGGUGCUUUCCAGACAAAAGAGGUGCUAGUAAUAUGAUUCAUGUAGUCCUUUUCCACACAGAAAAGGAAAGUUUGUACCUUUAAAAAUUUAAGACACAUGCCAAAGAAUUAUCGGAUGUAAGGAGGGGGAAUUACCAAAAAGACUUGCAACUUCAGGCAAACAGUUUGGGCAGUUGGCUCACGAAUAGGCGAUGUCAUUGUUGUGAAAUCGCGAACAUCAUCAUCAAUUCAUAGAUCAGGCUUCUCUAGUUCUCUCAAAUGUUGUCGCGUAAAAACCAACUAGUUUUAAUGUUCGAAUAUUCAAGGCAUAAGGCUACAAGUUCUGUGAGACACAACUAUGUCUUGAUAAAGAGCGCCAUUAGAAACCCACUUUUGCAAUAAAUUACGAGCAACAAAUAAGAAGCAUUGUGAUCGUAACUUAUCCAUCUCGAGACAUGACCUUCUCUAAUGCAAAAUCAAAUUUUUGAAAAAAGGUCGCCUGCCUACCCAACCAAAACCCCCUUCUGGACAAAUCAGAAAGCUUUCCAACUUAGCCUUCUAAGUGCCAAGUCAAAAGACAACCCUGAUCUAUCUAGAUCUUUUUAGCUCUAACAGAAUCCUUCUCCUCCAUGCCAAUAUCACAAGUUUCAUAACAGGUUGGACCUCAUCCAACUACUAAUAUGAUUUAGAUUGCCACCAUCUUAUAGAAAUAUUAUGAAAUGAACAGCCCUCUGCAUCACUAUAAACAGACACGUAAUUCAUUGAAUCUUGUACUUCCAGAACGAUGGUAAAGAACUUGGUAACAAGUAUUGUUACAAAAACAAAUAAAGAAAUCAUGCAAAUAUAGGACCAUUGAUAAGGGUGUCCAAAACUUCACUAUUGAGCGUGUUAAUGUAUUGGUCACCCAUUUUCACCUGAUAUACUUCAGGGACUUGAGCCAGCCUCAUUUCCAAAUGUAUAAAGUAGCUGCUUAUCUAUUUUGUCCCUAAAAAGGAUUUAUUGUUUCAAUUUGAGGUAGUAACCAGAUCAUGAAGGUGGUUACAAGCAUAAAAAAGGCCUUAUUGGCCAACCUACAAGUCAAUGUAUUGUUAGAUAGUUAUCUAUAUGACCAAUUUCGCCAAAAUAUACCACGAUUGCUACAAAAUAUAUAUGGAACUACAUCCAUGUCAUGACAUCUUUAAUUCAUACAUGAUAGUUUAACUUUAAGCAUAAAAUUUAAACUUUACCCAGCUCAGAAAGUAAUUCAGAUGAUUUAUGUGCAUUUAAACAGCACUGGCUUCACCUAAGAUUUCAUAUCCAUCACAUCCAUGUUUCCUCCCAAGAAACAAAACCUUAAAUAGGCUACAAGAAAUAAUAUCCUUCAAACCUUCACUCAAGGGGAUGCAAGAAAUGACAAUGUAAUUGACUAUUUCUAUUUCCAACUUUGCAGCAAAUAUGGAACUAAAAAAAUAGAAAGGUCUUAUUUCACUACAUCUCAAAAAUGAUAGAAAGUAUUAAAUCAAUCCAUGUUUAUGAUUUUGUAGCACUAUUUGAUGGUAUCCACAUAAACAAAUCUUCCAACCAGAUGCUUUCUUUGUCCAUGUUUCUAAGAUGAGGUCCUUGCUAAAUGGCUCCUAAAAUCAUAUGAUGCAAUUUCCCUCCUCUCCUCUCCUUUUGCAUGAUGUCGAAUUGAUUUUGGGUGGGAGGUCCCCAACUCCAACUUUGAUUCUAUCCACCUACUACUGCUUUGCUCUCUUCCUCCCAUAUUUGAUCGAUACAUCAUAUCCAAGUCCUUGUAGAACAACAAAAACUAGAAACCAUCUAGAGUAUAUCCACAUCCACUAGCAAAACUAUAGUAUUAACUUUUAGAGAAUUACCACACUAGUGCGUUUGAACACCUAAAAAUUUUGGUGACAGUGUUUAUGCCAUUUGAUUAAUAGGAUUUAGAAAUAGUGCACAAACGUUUCAACCCUUCGUUGUGCAUGUUUGGGAGUGUGUUUGCACUCGUCAAAAGUGAUUCUGAGUCCAAAAGCAUAAUUUUGAGUGUUUGGCUACAACCCAAAAGUAAUUCUUAGCCAUGUUAAAAAUCCUCCAAAAUGUAGUUUACGUAAAGCUGACCUUCUCUCGUUUCCCAUGGACAAGGGCCUGCAAGCUUAAUAUCGCAUUUGCGGGAAGUCAUUUAUUUUAAGAAAAUAGCACAUUGUCUCUCGAUGCCCUCGCAUCUCCGCUCCUUCCCAACUCCCCAACAUAUCAGAACAUCUUUUCUUCAGAUUAAUUUCCUCCCAAAAGGAUCAACUCCUCAUCGGAGAUCAUUCCCUCUAUACCGGCAAUGGCGAUGCAGCAGUGGAUCUUAGCCAAUUCCAAAGGCCAUCUCCCUCUGUUUUCCCCCCUCUUAUAGCAAUAAUUUCUCCUCUCAGUCUUCCGGGACCUAGAGCUCCCAGCACAAAACCCUCUGCCCGUCCUCAACGAUCCACGUCCGUCUCCUUUCCCUCGUUUCCAUGAAUUUCAAUCCAUUCCGAGUACCUAGGGUUUGGUUUCAUCUUUCUUUCAUUCGAUCAAGCUCCAAAGCCUCAUCGUUCUUUAUUGGUUUGCUCCGAUCUCAAUUAUUUACCUGUUUGUGUUCCUUUUUUUAUUCGAAAUUUGGGUUUAGAAAGGCAUUGUUUUCAUUCUUGGAGAACAUUGUUAGAUGUUGAGGUUUCUUGUGCAGCUGAUUUCAUACUAGAUUUCUCAUGGAUCUGAAGAAUGCAACUUUAUGUAGUUUGAAGAACAAUAGAAUAAUAAGGAUAGUUUCCUCCCUGUUUAUUUACAAGUAUCAUGAAUGUUCAUGCAUCUCGAUUGUAAGUAUCAGGCAUCAUUAAUGUUCGGGCAUCUUGAUUGUAAGUACUGGGUUGGUCUAUCAGUCCUCCAUAUAAAGAACAACAGAUGCUGCUGGAUGAUUUCACAAUCAAGGUUGCUGAAUUCUACCUACCACUGAGAAUCAAGGCUUCUCCUCCUCUUCUUCAAUGUUCUUGGUUGCUGAAUCAAGGUUGCUGUUUUAUUUUUGUCAGCCCCUUUUCUCCUCUCUUGCUUUUAUUUGGUGAAGAGGAGCUUGCUGUCAGACUGCUGAAGCAUCUUGCUUCAAACUCUAAAUUCUAUCAGCCUCUUCUUUGUUUUCACAGUUUCAAACACUGCUUUUGGCCAAAAGCUACAGCUUCCCCAAACAAAUCCAUUGACUUUUAUGUUGCUUAGUAGUACUUAGUACUUUUUUUCUCGAUUAUGUUCUAAUAAACUGUAUUCUUGGCUGCUUUGUCGGCAAAUUCUUUGGACUAAAAUGCUUGACAAAUCACUGUAUAUGUCCUAUAGGUUGAUGCAAUUGGAUGUUUUGUAUUUAUCCUGGUCAUCGCAGUUGCUAGUCUACAGAAACUUUUGCCAAUAAUGUCACACAUCAAACUUGGAUACUCUCUACUUGUGAAUUAUGGAUGAUGGAAAAAAUAAAUAUCACUUUGAUUUGAACUGCAACGCCAUUAGCAUGAUAUUUAUGGAAACAUCUUGCCAACAUGACACACAUCCUCUUCCUCAUACAGUUGUAAGCAUUGGCAUACCAUAGAAACUAAAACUAUAUCAAAGCCACACAUACACCUUGUUUUGUUACAAUGUUAUCUUGAUCAACCAACACAUAUGAAUAUGUAAACCACAUCCUGUUUUUAUUAGUCACAAGAUCCAAGAGAUACCAAUAUGCUAGAUCUACUCAAAGGGCCUUUGAUACAUGGACACUCUACCUAAGAUACUAAGAUCACACUGGGGACUUGUACUAAAAUGUAACAAACUAUGAGAUAAAUUAGUUUGAUAUGUGAAGGACAGCUCCCCUCUUAUUAAGUGACUGAAUAUGACCAUAUAAUGAAUACACAAAUCUCAUAUUUUACAGUAUAUAAAAUUAAAGGCUAAGAGGUAUUUAGAUUAAACAUCAAAUGUAACACAUAAAUGAAGCAAUUCUUUAGGUGUGCCCACAUAAGCCCUAAUACUUGAAUUUGUAAAUUAUAUUCUUGAUUGCUUGAUAUCUACUUGAAGCCAAUUAGAAUUUCUUAGAAAGAAAAAGGCUCUUGCUUUAUGCUAUGGUUUGUGAAUCAUUGAUUUGAGGGUGGGAGGCACACUAAAGUUCACAGACAUGAUAGAACACAACUGUUAGUUGGGAAACUGAUGUAGGAACAGUUACAUGUGAAGAAAAAAUUCUCAACGUGGUAAUCAAGGUACGACGUUGUGAAGAAUGGAAUGCAUAUGGGAAACCAUUGAAAAUCAUCAGGUAUCUUUUUGCGGUAUGUCGAUCUUUCCUGUCACAUAAAUUUCUUAAAACUCUAAACCUCAGUCACAUGCCCAUCCAAUCCCCUCGUUAGAAAAAACCAGAUUUUGUUUACCACAUGGGUUCCUGUCACACAUCAAACUUGGAUACUCUCUACUUGUGAAUUAUGGAUUAUGGAAAAAAUAAAUAUCACUUUGAUUUGAACUGCAACGCCAUUAGCAUGAUAUUUAUGGCAACAUCUUGCCAACAUGACACACAUCCUCUUCCUCAUACAGUUGUAAGCAUUGGCAUACCAUAGAAACUAAAACUAUAUCAAAGCCACGCAUACACCUUGUUCUGUUACAAUGUUAUCUUGAUCAACCAACACAUAUGAAUAUGUAAACCACAUCCUGUUUUUAUUAGUCACAAGAUCCAAGAGAUACCAAUAUGCUAGAUCUACUCAAAGGGCCUUUGAUACAUGGACACUCUACCUAAGAUACUAAGAUCACACUAGGGACUUGUACUAAAAUGUAACAACAAACUAUGAGAUAAAUUAGUUUGAUAUGUGAAGGACAGCUCCCCUCUUAUUAAGUGACUGAAUAUGACCAUAUAAUGAAUACACAAAUCUCAUAUUUUACAGUAUAUAAAAUUAAAGGCUAAGAGGUAUUUAGAUUAAACAUCAAAUGUAACACAUAAAUGAAGCAAUUCUUUAUGUGUGCCCACAUAAGCCCUAAUACUUGAAUUUGUAAAUUAUAUUCUUGAUUGUUUGAUAUCUACUUGAAGCCAAUUAAAAUUUCUUAGAAAGAAAAAGGCUCUUGCUUUAUGCUAUGGUUUGUGAAUCAUUGAUUUGAGGGUGGGAGGCACACUAAAGUUCACAGACAUGAUAGAACACAACUGUUAGUUGGGAAACUGAUGUAGGAACAGUUACAUGUGAAGAAAAAAUUCUCAACGUGGUAAUCAAGGUACGACGUUGUGAAGAAUGGAAUGCAUAUGGGAAACCAUUGAAAAUCAUCAGGUAUCUUUUUGCGGUAUGUCGAUCUUUCCUGUCACAUAAAUUUCUUAAAACUCUAAACCUCAGUCACAUGCCCAUCCAAUCCCCUUGUUAGAAAAAACCAGAUUUUGUUUACCGCAUGGGUUCCAAUGCUUGGGUGCACAAAUGUUUUUUCCCUAAUAACAAUUACAAUGCUAUAUCUAGGCUUGCAAGAAUCUAAGGCAUAAAGGUUAACAUUGCGAUGCAGACACCACAGCAAUUAAUCGAUCAUUUCUAUUCAUUUAGGACCAUUUCUUUUAUACUUAUUCUAAGAAGCUAGGUAUAAGUGCGUAGGGAAUGAGUUUACCUUCUGAAAUGGGGAGAAUGCACAUCCCAACAAAGCAUUUUACUAAAGCAUACUUCAUCAUGGGCAACCAUGGAUGAUUUAAUCAAAAGACUAGCUAUAGGAUCUUACAAAGUGAUCUAUAAGCAAAUAUGCUUAGCGUAGUCUAGAACCUCAUCAUCUCUAACCUACCUAGCCCAUGCACCCUUUAUUUGUUUGGAUAAACACUGCUCACUUUUUUAUAAGUCCCCUCACUCCAACUCCCAAAAAAAAAAAGAUCUCUUCUUAAAGGGGUGCCAGCAGUUGUCUUGAAGACAAAAAUCAAAUUUCAUGAAAGACAAAAGGGUCUUAGCAAUGCUUAUAUAAUGGUCAGGGAGUUUCAUCAAAUAGACACGAAUACAGGAGUUCCACAAACAUAAUAUGAUGCUCUAUCGAAAGGGUUUAAUAUGGUUCUAAAUAUAAUUUGAUAAUAGGAAAGCAUGGAAGAAUUUGUUUAACACUACAAAAUUUACAAAUUGCCAUGCAUUAUGAGGUGCUAUUAGAAAAGGAAAACAAGCUAAUGCUUCCAGCCCAUCUCGUAAAAAAUAAUCUCAACAAGAAUUACGAAUUUCUGGAUGAAAAUAGCGGAAGAUCUUUUUGCUCGCAAAGGAAAGAAAUUCAUUAAGCUAUUUGGAAAAGACAUUCCCAGCACAAAUAACGCAACCACUUGAGUUAUGAAGCAUAAUAGGUUAUAUAUCAUAACAUCAUUAACAACAAAAUGGGAUCCUAGAUGGGAUUCAAUGAAGUCACACCUUUCUUCCAGGAUUGCAGAACCCUCUUCAAAUAGUUCCUCGACAGCACCAACUGAUGAAAGUUUGUUCGUAUGUUUACCAACAGUGUUCUGCGACUUUUUCCCAAAAAGAAGAGAUGUAAACUUAUUCUGAUGCUUUUUUGGAGAUGAUGGUAGGACACAGCAAUCAGAUGAAGGUGGAAUGAUAUCAACAACUAAGCAAGUGGUGUCAUCUUUCAAGCCACUUGUUCUCAAAGCUUCCUAAAAAAACCAAAUCCACAAGAAUUAAGCAACGUGAGCUUAAAAAAAGCACUAAAACAAAUAUCUAUAAGUAAAAAGACGUAAGCCAUUAAUGAUUGGCAUCACCUUAACAACAAGCUUUGCAGCAAGUUCUGCAGGUAUCCCUCGGCACGCCUUCGCAGCCACCUCUGACGACAGAGCAUCCCAUAUGCCAUCUGACGCAAUUAUUAGCCGUCCUCCGGUUCUUGAAAGCUAACCAUCCAAUCAACAACAACAAAAAAACUAUUAUUCCAUGGGAUAUGGAAUACAACAAAACACCAAGUUUGAUUUACACUCACCUUCACUUGCUUAACAUGUGGUAUCGGGACGAUGAAUUCACCCACAUCUGUAUCACCUAUUGACCUUGAAAGGCACAAACCACCCGGCCAGCAGCGGAGCGGACCGACCUGAGAAGGCAGCACAAAACAAGUUUGCACUUCCCCAUCAAGAAAUGAACUUUGAUCAUAAAAUUUGCAACAGAGUUUCUUCAGAUUGUAUACCUCCUGCCCGCCAGAGAGAUUAAGCCUUCCAACCUCUCCCCCACUAGCAGUAACACGUUCCCUUUCCUCCGCAUUCUCUUCCAGCCUAUGAUCGACGGUCAGCAAAGAAACCACACCACCCUGUGUAUCCAGUAUGCACCGCGAGUCGCCCACCGAUGCGACCGUCACCCUCCACCCAUCAACCACAACAAGGGUCACCGUCGUCCCCGAAGUCUCCCCUGAUGACAACAAUCAACGAUCGGAUUUUUCUCAUCAGAUAAACAAAAACCAACAGCAGGGCACGCAUCAAGACUUGCCUUUGCGCUGGAAAUCUAUAUCCGUCCUCACGAAGCCGGCAACCAGAGCCUGCGGAAGGGCCUGGAGCCACUCCUCCCUGCCCAGCCCCGGAGGAAUCGCACUCAUAACAUUGUCCAAGAGAUGCUCUUUCGCGAACACGGCCGCAGACACUCCAUUGUGCCCAUCGAAGAUCUACAGACAAACAUUGAUUCCCGUAAUCGAAACCAAAAAGAAUAUACAAGAAACGGGAGGAAGUUAAAGGAGAUGGCGAUGAUACCGCGAAGACGGAGAAGGAGGAGGAGGAGUUGCCGGGGAUCCGGAGGCAAUCAGGCUUGAUGAGGAAGUAGUCCUCGCCCCGCUUGGCGAAGGCGUGGUGGCCGCACUUGAGGGUGGGCUUCUCGGACUUGUCGCCGCGGAGCUCGCGGCCGAUGAGGGUGGCGAGGGGGACCAGGGGAGGUCUCAUGCUCGGAUCCCGGUGCCGCCGGGCGUCGGUCAUUAGCGACGACUCCGCGGUCUCCUCAAAACCCUAACACAUGCUCGUGCCGGUCCUUCGAAGACCAAUCUCAUCUCAAAAACCGUAUAUUUCUUCCACCACUCGGAUCAGAAAACAUAGAGUAAAAGAUCAAGAAACGCAUCGAUGGAAACCCUAGGCGAGAUCGGCGGAGGGGAUCGGAGGCCCCAAUGCCGGUCGGAGAAGUCGAUCUCGGCGAUGGAGGAAUCAAGAAAAAGGAAAGAGAGGGAGGGAAGGAGAGUGGGCGUGGGGCCCAAUGGGGGCGAAGAUAUCGAGGAGGGAUAGCGAGAGAUCGACUGAGCCCACGGGUUCGGGAUUUGCGAAUUGUGGCAGAAAAAAUCCGAGAGAGGGAGGGAAGGGUUGGGGGGAAUGGGAUGUCGGUACCUACUGCGGAGGCCAAGGAGGGGAAGGGACCUGCGUCGUCUCUGUUCUGCGGCACCGUAGAAAAAGGAGAGACAGGGAGAGAAAGUAGUAAUGAUGGAUAAAAUACGGGGGAAUAAAUUUUUAAAAGAAACGAGAAAGAACGGGAGAAAGAAAAGAGUUGGUAUUUUGUUUUGGUUUGCAGCGGGAGUGGGGGCUGGGGGAGGGGCAAGGGGGAAGGUGUUUCGAUUUCUGCUUUGCUUUUCCAGCUGCGCAUUCAACUUUCUCCCUCUCUCUCUCUCUCUCCAAUCGCUAGAAGCUGUGUGCGGGGUGGUUCUAUAUACACCCCCCCUAUUGCUAAGGACACCCCCCAAAAACCAAAAAGAAAAAACCCAAACUAACCUUUAGUGUAAUUACCAUAUUGCCCUUGAAAUUUUCUCAUACAUCCCCCUUCCUCCUCCUCCGUUUCGUUUUGAAAAGAAAAAAAAAAAACACCCCUCGAACCCCCCUUAAACCCCUCAAUCCAUUUACAUCGUUUAGGCGAUCUUUGNNNNNNNNNNNNNNNNNNNNNNNNNNNNNNNNNNNNNNNNNNNNNNNNNNNNNNNNNNNNNNNNNNNNNNNNNNNNNNNNNNNNNNNNNNNNNNNNNNNNNNNNNNNNNNNNNNNNNNNNNNNNNNNNNNNNNNNNNNNNNNNNNNNNNNNNNNNNNNNNNNNNNNNNNNNNNNNNNNNNNNNNNNNNNNNNNNNNNNNNNNNNNNNNNNNNNNNNNNNNNNNNNNNNNNNNNNNNNNNNNNNNNNNNNNNNNNNNNNNNNNNNNNNNNNNNNNNNNNNNNNNNNNNNNNNNNNNNNNNNNNNNNNNNNNNNNNNNNNNNNNNNNNNNNNNNNNNNNNNNNNNNNNNNNNNNNNNNNNNNNNNNNNNNNNNNNNNNNNNNNNNNNNNNNNNNNNNNNNNNNNNNNNNNNNNNNNNNNNNNNNNNNNNNNNNNNNNNNNNNNNNNNNNNNNNNNNNNNNNNNNNNNNNNNNNNNNNNNNNNNNNNNNNNNNNNNNNNNNNNNNNNNNNNNNNNNNNNNNNNNNNNNNNNNNNNNNNNNNNNNNNNNNNNNNNNNNNNNNNNNNNNNNNNNNNNNNNNNNNNNNNNNNNNNNNNNNNNNNNNNNNNNNNNNNNNNNNNNNNNNNNNNNNNNNNNNNNNNNNNNNNNNNNNNNNNNNNNNNNNNNNNNNNNNNNNNNNNNNNNNNNNNNNNNNNNNNNNNNNNNNNNNNNNNNNNNNNNNNNNNNNNNNNNNNNNNNNNNNNNNNNNNNNNNNNNNNNNNNNNNNNNNNNNNNNNNNNNNNNNNNNNNNNNNNNNNNNNNNNNNNNNNNNNNNNNNNNNNNNNNNNNNNNNNNNNNNNNNNNNNNNNNNNNNNNNNNNNNNNNNNNNNNNNNNNNNNNNNNNNNNNNNNNNNNNNNNNNNNNNNNNNNNNNNNNNNNNNNNNNNNNNNNNNNNNNNNNNNNNNNNNNNNNNNNNNNNNNNNNNNNNNNNNNNNNNNNNNNNNNNNNNNNNNNNNNNNNNNNNNNNNNNNNNNNNNNNNNNNNNNNNNNNNNNNNNNNUAAGAUAUCCUCCGGCUAGAAAAAUACUGUAAUGAGGACUGAGGAGGUUAGAAUUUCUUUUUUUUUCUUCCUUUUCUUUCUUUCUUUCGCUCGUUCUUUCUUCUCCUUCCUUUUCUUCUCCUUCUUCUUCUUUUUUAUUUUUUAUUUUUUUACUAAGACAGAUAAUUUAUACAAGAUGUACAUAAAUACAUCCAAAAAAAUCAGAAAACAGAAAAUCACAUAGCUCCAAAGAUAGCUUCCAUUUCCAGCCCACAAGGUACUACCAGCAUAAUUAGCCACAUAGGCGGCCAUUCAAUUUACAAUCCCAUUAGCUUUUCUAAAUACAUGCUUAGCUUGGACGGUCCCACCAUCCAUCAUCAUCAUCCAGAUGUCUCGAAGCAAAGGAUGGUCGUAGUCGACAGCCCUCGGACCCUCUUGGAUCUAUCUGAUGAUCGUAGCCGAGUCACCCUUCAGGAUGACUGAACUAGCUAGUAGCACUCGCCAAGCAUGUCCAAGGCCCGCCCAUGGAGCCCUCAACUCCACACCAGAGACCAUAAUGUCGAGUAACUGACAACCACCUGCUGCCACUACUCUGGAGCAUGAGUUUCUGAUUGCGAAACCCAUGCCUCCCUUUGUGCCUCCAUUCAGCACAGACCCAUCAAAGUUGACCUUAAGAAAGCUUGGAGAUAGAAGCUCCCAGGUAAAGAACAUCGUAUGGGGUACUGCUAAGGCAGAAUGGCAACCUCAAAUAUUUCGAGCUGUCAAAGACCCUUCUACGCAGGAGACAUGACUAAUCUCCACCGUCUGUGCUCUGACACUCUCCGCUACGAGCCUCGGCGACAAACUAUGCUUGUCAAAAGUUCGAGCAUUCCUUGUCAGCCAGAUUUGGUAUACUGUGCAAGUCGUUCUAACAGCCUUCUGACGUAUCAGUGAAUUAUCCAACCACCGACAGAUGGUCCGUAAGAACAAGUGUUUUGACUCCAAACCUCCCUCAAGACUUAGGAGUUAUGCAUGCUAGUUAAGUGCCAUUCCUGCCAAAUAUAUGAUAGUUAUCCCGCAUACAGUAGUUGUGCAUGCUAUUCCCUCUCAAGCAAAACAAACUCAAAUAAUUUCACGAUAAUCUCAAGCCACUCGCGCUUGGCAGAUAACAAGGGGAGCAGGGGAGAGUCCAGAUCACCGUGCCGACCGUGCAAUUUAUGCGCGUGCUGAGGAACGUGCCGUGGUUAUCAAACCCAAACCCCAAGCGGUGAGUCAGACCGUGAAAUCGGAGAACCGUACCUCGAGCCGGGUCCGGCUUUGUAACGAGACCGCUGUCAGUGAUCCGUACACCGAAUCAGCCAAAACCCCACGCCCGCGGGGGACGUUGAUGCGGUAUGGGAGUUCCGACACGUGCACCAAUCACACACGGGGCACAUGCCCCGGCACCUGCGCAGGGAGGAUCCCCACAAUGUGAACCAGCGCCAUGAUAUUAUAGUGUAACUAGUGUCCCACCAAACAUACAUCAUUUGUGGUAACAAUGCCAUUUUAGGUUAGAAAGAAUAAGUAAUCCUUCUGUUUUUUUAUUCCAAUUUCAUUGCUAAGCCUACCAGAUAGGGGGAAAAUGGAUCAGAUGAUAUCAAUCGAGAUCUAUUUUUCAAUUCAAAUCUAUUAGGAUAUGAAUAAAAAUUUGAGAUUAAUGUGCGUAUUCAUAUCCAUAUCUAUUAAAGAAAAAUAGAUAAAAAAUAAAUAGACUAUCUGAAUAUCUAUUUUUAUUGGUAAUUUUAUUUAAUUUUAUAUAGCAUUCAUGACUUUUUAAGAAAAAUAAAUGAUUGUAUUAGUAUACUAUUAAAUUAAUUUAUCAUUUACUUUAUAAUAUUUUUGAUUCUGUGGUCACAAAAUUUAAUUAUCCGACUUAUAUUCGUAUUUAUAUUUAUAUUUUUAGUAUCGGAUUUGUAUUUGCAUCUAUUUAAGAUAAAUAUUAAUAUAAAUUUUUGCAACAGACUAAUAUUGGUAUCUAUAUCAGUAUCCAUCAAAUAAAAUAAAUAUGGAUAUCGAUAUACUAGUAUUUGAUCCAGUAGUGUCACCUUUUCAUAGCAAAAGUAAAUUAGGUAUAUUAUCUACCAGGCUAAUGGAUAUUUGGACUAAACGGGACAUAAAUAAUGAAGCAAAGUCUAAACUCGCGUUGAAGGAUAUAUAGAAAGAUGGUUCGAGGAUAUUGUUAUAUGAUCAAGAAUGUCUAUAUGUACCGCCACAUGGCUUGAGGCAUGGUCCAACAAUAGAGCUAGUGGAACCGCACUAAGUUGUUUGCAAAAGAACCUUUACAACCAAAGGGAUUUAUAAAGAUCAGAUAUACGAAUGUUUUGAUAAACAAAGGAUCAAUGAUGCUAGAAUGAAGCUUUUCCCUCCUCCAUAUAAACACCAACUAAUGCUCGUCACGUCAAGUGAUACCUAGGAAUCACACUCGAGACUUAACCAAUAACCACCCUCCAUACACAUUAGGAAUCUCUUAAAUUGGCACUUGAGAAUGUGCAAUGAGAUCAUGAAAUGUUGCUCAUGUUUCAAGGAACGGAGUCAUCUUUAUUUAAAAUCAUAGGUGCCAGAUAAAUAAAACAUGAGGCCACUUACGAACGCCAAAACUAUGAUAGACUUGUUCUGUUUGCUAGCCACCAUUAUUCGCCUAUUGAAGCAGGCAAUUAGGGGUCUAGGAUACACCAUUUGUUGGAUUUUCUCUUUUGCUUUCAAGCACUAAAAAAUCUGGAAAAGUUGUGCAACAAUAAAUAUCGUAGAGAAACAACAUAUUUUGAAAUUAAAACCAAGUGUAAAUCGCAGUAAAUUUGUAAGAUUGAUCACAAAUCUUUUAUGAAAAGUAAAAGUUUAACAAAGUAAGGCUUAGAAGUAAUAUAAGCAAAAGGCUAAACUACAUAAUAACCCUCCAAAUGCAUUAACCCUGAAUCCAUGGAUAACUAAUACUCUCACUAUUUCAAGUAACGGAUUGAUUCAGCAUACCAUCUUUCACACCCCUUCAACCAAUAAGACUGUUCUUCAUCAAGUUGGUAGUUGGUACCAAAGAGACAAACUGACCUAAACCACUGUAGAGAAAACCUUUUUGUCAGGCAACUUUUCUAGGAUACAAUUCUUCUCAUUAUUAGCAGAGGGAAAAGUCCACAAUAGUGGUGCAACUUGAUGCAUUUAGAUCAGUAGAACAUGAGAACAAGAAAUAAUCAUAUAUGAUUUAGUCUCUUCGCCUAUCAACUGUUCGUGAGAAGCUAAUCUUAUAAAAUGCAACUUAAAAGGAUAACUACUUGCAACAAAGUCAUCAUCUUACUAGAUAUAAGUUAUAAAGAUUCAUUGUAAUUUUUCAGACUAAGCCUUCGACGUCACACAAGAUAUGUUCAUGAUAAGAUAUGGUGAAUGUAUGGUUUUAAACAACGGCAAUAUAACUGUUAUAACAGUUUAAUACACCCUUAUUAUGAAGAAAUAUAAUAGCUAUUAUUUUGUAUUAUUUUCUGUUAUUUUCUAUUUUUUUAAUAACAAGCAUUAUAACACAAAUGAUGAAUGUUGUUUAUUUAUACUUUCUUUAUUUAUACACAGACAUAUAGAGAGGCCAAUGGGGCUGCAGAUUAGGUGACAUCGUAUGUGGCCAACUAUUUUAGAAAUACUCUGUAGGUGGAGGAGAGGGAGUUACCUAGUGCACUCCAAGAGCUAUUGUUUUUUAAUUUUUGUUUGGUUGUAUCCGUACCCACAUUAUAUGAUACAUCAGAGUUAGCAAAAAAAAUAAAAAAAUAAAACAAUAUAUUUAUUUUGAUUUUCAAAAUUUCUGCUAAAAAUUCCUUCCAAAAAUCAUCGUGCUUUCCAAAAAAUAUAUUAUUUUAUUAGAUAAAAAUUAAAGAAAAUAUAGCAUCAAUAUAUCACCAUCUUUUUGCUAAGACAAGAUAUUUUCUGUCAUAAUACUGUUAUAAUAGCCAUUAUUUUGAAGAUUAUUGUGAUAUUAAAAAUUUAACACUUGUUUUUGAGGCAAAAAAAAUAUGUCAAUCUAUAAUUGUCAAUAACUGUGGGUGAUCGAAGCUGCAAAUUUCAAAAUAAUUUUAAGGAUAUGUUCGACAUUGCUGAUAAGAGCAGGGAGAAAUCAGGUCAUUGGGAUAAAACCAAGCGUGCGAUUUUCCAUUAUUGUACGGCGUUGGAUUCUAUAACGGAUCCAGUGGAGCUCCCGGGCCCACCCCGUCGAGUUCUACGGGAGACGAUCCCCCGAGUCCUGGGUCCCACGAUUAAAAAAGACACACAAGAGCCGGACCGUCGGAUCGGAUUUCGACGGUGGAUUUGCUCGACGCGUCGAGAUAUGGACGGCAGCGGGCAAAGGGGUGUAUCUAGAUGGCGAAGGCGACACGGCGGGACGCGGUGACGUGGCCAUGUGACGAUGGGCCCCACACGGGGCUCGUCCACUCAUCGGCUCAGGUGCCCCCUAGCUGUAGGUUUGACGGAAAGAAGCCUCCUUUUCUCGAAUUCGCUCCCAGUUUUCAACUCGCUUUUCCUCCGCAAUGAAACAUCUAACUGAAGCUUGGUGCGGGGCUUUUUAUUUUAUUUUUAUUUUUAUUUUAUUUUUUUUAAGCGGACGAGCCGAAUAUAAUAUGGAUAUGGACACAUCUACUAAAAUAAACAAACAAAAUAUCGUGAAAUGUCAUAAGUAGCUUCUCCUCCUGAGNNNNNNNNNNNNNNNNNNNNNNNNNNNUGUUUCUUUCUAGCAAUUCAGCCGUAGUAAUAUGAUGAUAUGAUGCAGACAAGAAGAAGUUUUAGUUAAUUAAUUUGUCCACUUCUUUUGUCAAGACCAUCGUCUUCAUGGUUGGGUAGUAGAAAAGUCUAGGAUGAUUUGAGUUCUCAGCUUGCAUCCCUUUCUUUUAAAUUAAAAAAAUGAAGGCAAGAACUUAUCCAUUCAAUUUACAAGACAAAUCCCACCACCAUAGGAAGUUCUAAGCCACUUGCAUAUUGGAUAAAUAUCUUUUGUUAGAUGGAUCUUGUUCAUCAUCUUUAUUCUUAUUUUAUAUUUGAAAAUUCAUCUCCUUGCGCCAUGUUAGUACCCAGGAAUAGCUGAAUAAAAUAACAAAAGUAAUAGAAAAUAAAAGAGCAUGGUAGAUCAAGAUUGACUGUGGUUCACCUAAAAUCUAUGUUAUAAGUACUGAGGGAGUGGCAGGUCCACUGUAACAAAUGGAGUAUGCGAGAGCUCACCGAGAAAAAAUGAUUCGGAGAAAAUAUAAGAAUAGAUUUUGCCAAGAAAUCUAAACAUAGAAGAAUCACAUGUGUCAAGAUCUUGAGACCAAAAAAUAAUGUUCAAGCUCUAUCUUUUGUUCUCUCCCUCAUAUUUUGCUUCUAACACCACAUUGCAUCCUCCCACAGCAUUGAUUCGAUCACUGACCUUUCAAUCCUUAUAACUUUCUUGUUUCUUGGCCAAAUUGGGCAUAUGAAUGUAGAAAAGACCUAAUGAUGGCCUUCGAAUAUAUAGCGGCCAUUGAUCAUAUGAUAUUUUUGUUUUGAGAGAAAAAUGGUCUGCAAGAAAAAAACGUCCAUAACUAUAAUAGAACUUGUGAUUCAUUUUUUUCUCAAACCACAUGUUAUAAUUGGCUGCAAAUUUUCAGAAAUGAUCACACCCCAAUAGGCGCUAUAUGAAAAGAAAGUUCAAACACCAAGCAUAGCAAAAGUUGCCAUUGAAGGAUAUGGAGGUCCUACUAAUAGCCAGCCUAUGGAAAACCAUAUAAACAAAAAUUUCGAAAGUAUAUUCAACAUCUUUAGAGCCUCGAGAAACAUGAAAGGCUAUGAUACCAAUGACAGAAAUCAAAUCUUCGGUCAGAAUGAAGAUCAAUAACAUACCUCUCGAAAGCAUGUGAUCAAAGUUUCCAAAGUUCAUCUUCAGCUAGAAUUAUAUAUUUUGGUCUCCUUGUGUUCUUGAACAUCUUCUUCCUUAUUGUAUCGAAAAUUCGUGGCCAGAAAUUUGUUUGUAAUUGAAAAUUAAACUCUUUCACAAGAGUCUAUAUAAAAAGGGAGAGGAAUUUCUUCCAAUAAUCUCUCUCAUUUUUUAUCCCUUCAUUUUACUAUUAGGUGGUUACGUUGGUUUGUAGCAGUUCUGACAACUAUACAAGAUGUAAUAACUCCCAUCUGAACCUAUUUGAACUAGGCAUGGGCAUGCUCUCAUGGGCACCAGCCUCUGGCUCUUGAAUUAGUGCUUGUAUAAAUAGUACAUGGAUGAGAUACUAAGUUUCAUAACCCGCAUAAUAUAUCUCUGUAUACACUUUCUAUAUGCUAUGCUAUUCAUUGUGAACUAGGAGAUACCCUAGUGUUCUCAUCUCUUUGCCAAAUAAAUAAAUAUAUCUGAAUCUUGGAUAGUGUAUUCACAGGAAUUUAGUUCCUGGUAAUUAUAAUUCUUGUGGAUCAUUUUGUUAUCUCAAAAAUUCUUGGUAACAUUAUUUGCAUAAGUAUUCUAAAAGGAUGUCAGAGAUAGUUUAUUAAUAACCAAAGUUCCAUAAGUCAUCCCAUAUAUGCAUGUUGGGUAUGUACAUGCUGCGCCUCUCUAACAUCAUGUUGUUUCAAGGCCCUGGAUCGCUAUAUUAAUUAAAGCUUCACUGCAGCCAUGCAACAUGCACAUAUCAAACAUGUACACGCAUACCAAGGCAGUGUUGAGUUGCCAAGAAAGUGAAUAGGGAAACCAUGAUAAAAAAAAGAAAAUAAAAUGAGGAUUAUGUAUUGUUGGCCUAUUUUUAAUAAAUAAAAAAAGAAUUGUAGAUGAAUUUUGUUGUUUGCUACGCAAGAGAUAAUCUGAGAUUCUAUUUUGUUUAUCUUUCCAAAUUCUUGGAGAGGAAAGAGUUUUUUUAGCCCCUAUAAGCAAUCUUUUAAUAAGGAAAAAUAUAUAAUAGAGUGGCUAGAGUAAUAGUAUUAAUAGUAGUAGUAAUAGUAAUAAUUAUAGUAGCAAUAGUAAUAAUAAUAGUGAUAAUAAUAAUAACAGUCAUAAUAGGAGUAACAACAAUAACAACAUCAAUAACAACAACGAUAGUUAUAUAAAGUUAGGCCUAGUUUGGGCCAAUCAUUUAUGACCCCAAAAACCCAUCCAAGCUAUCUCAACAAUUCAGCUGCAAAGUCUCCGCUUUCCUUUAUCUCUAAUUUCAGUUAUAACAAUAGCAACAUUAUGUAAUAUUGUAUACUUUAAAUGACAAGUUGUAACAUCCACAUUCAUUGGAGAUAGUUUUUGUAACUCUAUAUAUUCAAAUAAACAGCUCUUAGUGAGGGCCAAACUAGUUUUUUCAUAUUAUUUUACUUACAUAGUAUCAGAGCAUUCAAGCUAACUCUUGAUUCUGAUAUAGCUUCCACAACCUUAGCAAACUUGGUCUAACAGUGGAAACGCUUUAACGACCACUGGCAAACCAUGGAGCAACUUAAUUCGCUGGAUAUUCUAUCGUCGAUGGCCUCCGGUUGUGGCGCCGCCGCAUCAGGCUUUAUCGCAAAACUUGGCGAUGGACAAUAGACUUCCCUCCGGCAUGACACAGGGGAACGAGCCGCUAAAAACCUGUUUCCGAUGUCUAACAAUCCCUCCAAAAUUUGGAUGAGUUUGUUCGACACCCAAACAAUCCCUCCCAGAUCUUGAUAGAAUUCCGACUGCUAUCAGCCAUCAUGCCUCAAUGCCCGAAUGUAACGACGCCAGAGUGUGGAGAUGGAACGCCUCUGGAGCCCUCUCAGUGGCGAAGUUGCUCUUGUUUCUCAUCACACGGCGACAUCUUCUCUCCACUCGGUAAAACUUUUGCUGACUUUCUGUUCCCGAGAAAGCAAAGAUCUUUAGAUGCCUAUGCUUCAGCAGCAGAGUAUUGACCGUCGAUAACCUUGCAACAAAGGGCAUCAAAGGCCCGAGUGCAUGCCCCCUUUCCUCCUCUCAGGAAGAGUCAACAAUUCAAUAUAAUCUGAAAAUUAUACAAUUCAUCUGCAAAAAAAUUCUAAAUAUUACAAUAACUAAACUAUUAACCUAAGAUAUUGCAUAUAUUAUACAUGCCACACAAGUUGUACCAUAGAGCUUCUUCUUCUAAAUUUUACGAUUCAAAACUUCUAGUGCUUAAGUUAUUUAUACAUUAUUCGGAAAACAUUAUAAUAUAUGUAUGCUGAUCAAACCAGUUCUACCAUCCAUAAGAACGGCCUUGCCUUUAAUAUUUUCCUAAAAUACUGAUAUCAGUCUAGCCUCUGGAUCCUGGAUAUGAAAAAUAUUGGUAAAGAUUAUGCCCAGUGAGUGACAAAUACAAUUUACAAAACUACUUCAAGCCAUAUUAAUAAUGUAAUUCAAUUAAAUCACAUAAGAUAUGAUACAUCUUUACAAGUAAUGUUUAUAGUAUUUAUUAUCAAUAAUAUCUACAUACCAAAAUUACAUGCCAUCUUUUCAAUAAUAUUGGUAUAAAGAAUUGAUACAUCAUAUCAGAGUACAAUACGUGUCCAAUAUCAUAAUCAUGCUUAUAUUUAUAUGUUUAAGUGGGAUACUUAAUCUUUUUAGCUCUAUAACCCUGACUGCAGUGUAUUUAUACUAUGCUGCUCAAGUAUCACCAUAAUUAUCCUCGUGGUGGGGUCACUAUAAUGUCGCCCAUGGUGGGGAUCACCACGAUCGCCCUUGUGGUGGAGUUGCCAUAUUAUAUUUACCAUGAUCAUCCCCAUGGCGAGGAUCACUAUAUAAUCAAGUCUGGACUCAUAUAUAGUAAGGUUGAGAGUCACACACACACACACACAUAUAUAUAUAUACAUAUAUCUAUAUAUAUAUAUAUAUAUAUAUAUAUAUAUAUAUAUAUAUAUANNNNNNNNNNNNNNNNNNNNUAUAUAUAUAUAUAUAUAUAUAUAUAUAUAUAUAUAUAUAUAUAUAUAUAUAUAUAUAUGUAUAAUUUAAGUAUUUCUUUUUUUUUAAUGCUUGAUUUCAUUAUAAUAGGUAUCAACAUAUAAUUUGAUAACAGAAAAGCCAUCACCAAUUAAUUAAUCGUAUUUAUAGAGAUUUCAAACACUAUUAAAUUUGAAUUUACCAUAAUAAAUUAUAAUUUUAAUGAUAAAAAUUUAAUUAACUUUAAUUAAUUAAUAUAAAGUGGAAAUGUUACUUAUCUUGUAGAUAUGAACCAUUCAACGAUCUAAGUACUUCUUUGGGGUUCCUCAUAAUCUAAUAAUCCAAAAUCACGUGCAUGUAUCGAAUUAUUAGUACAAUCAUAUUUUAAAAUUAAUUUCUAAAAAUCUCUAAAAGAAUUCCAUUUUUUCUUAUUUUUUAAAAAUUCUAAAAUUUCAGGUUAUAACAUUUCUUUGUACCUAGUUACAAGACAGAAGGUGAGAGUUGGUACGGUAAAAAUUGCGCCGGGCUUGCUCAAAAGCGAGAGAAAGAAAGAAAGAAAGAGUGCGAGCCUUUACCCUCUUAACAUGCUCGCGCACCAACACACGGGUGGAGAGAGAGAGGGGGGCCUUUCCUCUCUUUCUUUUCAUUUUGUUUUUCCUCCUUAUUUUUUGCCAGAGAGAAUCCGGAAGGAAGAAAGGAAGAGAAGAAGGAGAGGAAGACAGGGUGGGAGUGGGAGGAUGGGUGAGAGAGAGAGAGAGAGCGUGAGAGGAAGAUGGCGAAGGAGGAGGAGGAGGAGACGGCGGAUCGGUGAGGAGAUGCCGGAAGGGCGACCGGCCGGUGGUUCAGCGGAAAAGGAGGGUGGAGGGAGGAAAGAAGAAGAGAGGGUAUGCUGCGGUGGGAGCUAUGGUCACGGAAGAAAGGCGCAGGUCACUGCCUUAGGGCGGGCCCUCCAUAUUUUAAACCUGGUCCACGGGGCCCAGGUAUCACAAACCCAAUAAAAUACCAGCACCGAGACCACCCUUCACCUGGAUCUCGAAUCACCCUCCUCCCCUUCCGUCCCUGGCAAAGUCGCCGUUCGGACUUGGGGUGAGGAGGGGUGGUGGCCAUGGAUCCGAGAGAGGAGAAGACGAAGGAGAUGCGAGCGACGAUAAAGAGAGAGAGCACCCUCGUUUCCCCAACUUCAACAAUAAAAUCUAAACCUAAGGAUGGGGAGGCGAAAUUCAGCUCAUUAGCAUCGCCCAAAAACUUUGCGGGCUCGUUCCGUUUGCGAAAAAUAUUUUUUUUAUAAAAAAUAUAAAUUUUGAUAAAUUUUUUAAAAAAUAAAUAUUUAAAAAAAUAUUUUUAAUAUGUUUAGUUAAUCAUAAAAAAAUAAUAAAUUUGUAAAGUGCUUAUGUUUGAUUGACCAUCAAUUUUUUGUAAAAAGUUAUGUAUAAUUUCUAUUAUAUUCUUAACAAAAAUUAGAUUUUUAAUAUCUCUUUAAUGCUGAAGAAUUUUUUUAGAAAAAAUAAAAAUUGAAUAAUUUCCGACUCAUAAAAAAAACUUUCUCAUACUUCUCAUAGUAAAAUUUUUUUUUAUAAAAUAUAAAAAUUAUAUUUCUAUGAGGAUACAAUUUUUUUACGUCUUUUUUUUUUCAAAAUUUUAACAGAAACAUUAUUUUAUUAUUAUUAUUAUUAUUAUUAUUAUUAUUAUUAUUUUUGGCGAACCAAACGGGCCCUGCAUGUUGCACCCAAAAUUCGGGGUUUUGGACAUCACUUAUUGGUGUCCUAGUUCACACUGUUUACGAGAAUGAGUAAAUGCUGUAAAGAACCAUCUCUGACAGGCCAAGCAUAAAGUCCCAUUUCACAUACAUGAGUGCGACAAGGUAGAUUUUGAGGACACAAAAGUCGCAUUGCCUUCCAGUUGGUGAGCCUGGUCCGGCUCUGGUACUAUUACGUAAACUAUUUGCCCACAUUUUCAAUAGGUGAAGUGAAAGCAAAGCUAGAGGGAGACUGAGAAAUAGAUGAUGGCCCUCACAUGGGAUAGCUAUUUGAAAGCAAAAGCAGUAAUCAUGAGAGGGGAUGAAAAUGAGAAAAGAAGUAAUUAUGAGCAUCCAUGGAAAAAGAACCAACAACUAUACACCUGUGCAGAACCAUCUCUUCUUUUGCAUUUCUUCUUCUUCCAACUUUUUCUUUUCCUUUCCUUUAUGAAUUAUGAACAUGGCAGAUAAAGAAUGGUCAUCUGAAAAUGAUACAUGUCGACCACUUGAAGCAAAAGCAAAGAGGGUGUGGUAGGACUCCCACCACCCUUCACUACAACCACCAAACCAAUCCAAGCAACUGGGGUUAUUGGCACUCAUUACCAUACUCGAGGACAAGGCCCUCGAUCUAUCAUGAAAAUCUAAAAAGAAAGCCAGGAAACACGCAGCAUCCUUUCAAGAACCGUCCUUAUUUCGCAUUGUUCAUUUUCCCACCAGAUGAAGUCCGUUUCCCAUCGCUGCUGAUAGAAUUAGGCUGCCUCCCUGUCCGAUUAGACCCGUUCGACACUUUCCUGGAUGGCGAAGGGAGGUGUGCAUGGUUUGGAGUUCUAAAUUAUAGUAGAGGAAAAUAGGAACCAUUAGAAGCAUUCAGAAUGAUUUAAUUGAAAAAGAAUGUGCUUAAAGUAAUGCAGUAAACAGAAACAGACAGGCUUAUUUUGCUCUGUUGAGUAGUAGGUUCGAACAAAAUUUAGAAGUACAGAAAAUUCAAAAUUCAUGUUAUAUGUCAUAUAUGAAUCCCAACAUGGUAGUCUAUAUAUCUCACAAUACUAGCUUAAUUAAGCCAGCUUCAUAGCAAAAAAAAGGGGGUUGAAAUUUGUAUUUCUACUUAUGUGACAUCAACGGUUCGUAGAUUGNNNNNNNNNNNNNNNNNNNNNNNNNNNNNNNNNNNNNNNNNNNNNNNNNNNNNNNNNNNNNNUUCUCAUUAAACAAAAAAGAUGCAAAAGACUUGCACACAAAGAAAUGACUGAACACAUGCAACCAAGGAAGACCCUCCAAGACUAUAUCAUCAGUGACAAGCAUGUAAACCAAAGGACUUCAUCCUGACCUCAAAGUUGCCAACUAUGAGACCAGUAAGCCAAAUGAAAGAAACCCCCCCUAAAGCAUGAGAUUCAAGUUCAAUGCCAGGGCGGUUGGAAAGGGUUGGAGAUUGUUGGUUAUGAUCACAGAUCUUUUAUGGAGACAAAUAAGCUCUGACUAACAAGACUAUAUUAUCAGUGACAAGCAUGUAAACCAAAGAACUUCAUACUGACCUCAAAGGGGCCAACUAUAAGACAAGUAAGCCAAAUGAAAGACAACCCUAAAGCAUGAGUUUUAAGUUCAAUGCCAGGGCGGUUGGAAAGGGUUGGAGAUUGUUGGUUAUGAUCACAGAUCAUUUAUGGAGACAAAUAAGCUCUGACUAACAAGCACCCUAAAGUGGGUGCACUUCUAAUGCCUAGCUGUGAUGAGAAGGAUAUAACAAAAAGAAAGAGUAUUCCAGACAGUAAACCUGCACUUCCUACAACUGCAGCAAAACUUGCCAUCACUGAAAGCUGGUAGUAGCCUAGAAUCUCCAAUCUGAACAUAUCCAGCUGUUUGCCUAGCAAAUUGCAAUGCUCUAGUCUGCUGCAAGAGUUAUUGGUUGCAGCUAGACAACACUAUACAGUGAGUGAUGCAUGCUAAAAGGAUUAUUAGGGAAAAGAAUUGGCAUCUGCCGCAUCUCUGAUAUGGCAUGAUACCAUGCUGGUUUUGUUUUCAACAGUUACUGUAGCCUAGGAUGGUGUUCCUUCAAUAUAGCAAAAUUAAUAACAAUAAAACAUUAGAAAUUUUCCCCAACUAAACAACAAAUUUCUAAUAUUUAGAUCUCAAACAAAAGGCCACCAUCAUAAAACAUCGUGGAUAUGCAUAAUUUUGGUCAUCUGUUCUCAACCUACAAUAAAAGGGAAAAGUAUAAUUUAUUUUUAGAAUACUAAGAAACAAAAAAAAAACAUACAAAAUUAGAAUAUGUUAUCACUGACUAAAUUGACUCGUUGAUGUAGCAGUUUUAGCCGUAUUGGUUUUGGCAAUUCAACCAGAACUCAUAAGAGAGGAGUUUUAGGAUGCAAACAUAACUUCAAUAAUCCUGUGAUAAAAAAAAUUAAAAACAAGAAACUUUCUUUCACAUCUAGACUCAUAACAUUUUAAAAUAUCUAUAUUUGCACAAUCAAAGGUACAGCUUUAGCUAAAUUGCUGGUCAAUGAUUACCUUAUAUCUGGGCUAUUUGUUGGCUUUUGUUGAGGUUUUUUGAUCCUUGACCCACCUUCAUUAACUGCAGUAUUAACAUUUUGGAGAUUGAAUUGCCAUAAAGUGUCCGCUUCUGAAGAAUCACUUGUUGCAAUGUCUAAAUCAUCUGAAUCAUCAGUGCCCACAGAAUAAAACCGGCUUCUUUGCAUAUCAAAAUCAUGACUAUCUUUUCUCCUAGUGGCAUUCCUGAGGUAUUGUUCUGGAUAAGCUCCCACAUCGGAAACAUACCUUUGGUAAAAAAAGUCAGGCAGGGGUGCCCUAUCUCCUUCCCAAUCCCUUAAGGAAUCAUCAUCUCUGAUCACAGCCUCAUGCUUGUUCACCAUGACCUUGUCAACCCAGUCUCCAGGAACACUUUCUUUAUCUUCUCCCAUCUGAAAAAUUGUUCUGGGAUUGCUGUCUGGCCAAGGGGAAUCAUUUGCCAUUAACAACUCUUGGAGAUCAAAGCUUGGUUUCUUUUGUUUCAACGAAGGUUUACUCCACAUCUACAAAUAUAUCAUUAUUAGAAAAUUCAUGCUUCAGGAUAUGGCAAAGCAAAAAUGCAGUCAAGAUAAAUUACCAGCAAUAAUCUAUUUCAUGGUCAUAGGAACCAAUCAAAUCAAACCAUCAUCUCUGGGAAGCCAUAAAGAUCUUUGAGCAGAAAUUAACCAGUUUCUAUUCAAGCACUGAUGAUAUGAUAAAAAGUGCCAUAACCCAGUUAUGGUCCCAGCAAUCCGGGAUCCUGUGAGAGGUAAACUGGGGACAGUCCUAACGUUUAGCAUUUUUCUUGUCAGUCCUAACCUGGCCCCUAUAGAUGAUAUAAUACAUGGAAGAAAAUACAUAAUUGAUAUCACAGUAUUUAUAUAACAUUUUCUACUUGACAUAUAUAAAAUCGUCAAAUCACUUUCAAGAUGCUGAAUCCAAAAUAUAGAUCCCUAAAAUAUUUAAAAUUGUGAGGACUGAUGAAAAUGAUAGAGAUGAUACAGGUCAUCUAUGCCUAUGAACUGAAGCAAAAGCCUGACUUAUAUUUAAUAAUUAUUAAUCUUGAGUGAAAAAUCAAAGUCUUAAUAUUUAAGUGAUAUAUCUAGCAUCUAAUAUGCAAGUUAAACAUAUUUAUUGCAUUAGGGAGGACGUGUAUGAAUAUAACUGUUUAAUUUGAUAGUGAUGAAAUGAAUAGCUAAAGAGAAAUUAUAAUCCAACAACACAGCACAUUUAAUAUAGUGAGAGCAUUCACAAUCCCUAAUUUAGUAUUAGCUGUCCUAAGUACGAUACCUCUAUGUUUCCAACAUCCUCCAUAGGCUGUCUGCGGUUAGUUUGAGUAUUUAAAUACUCUUCACCAUGCCGCCGAUUUGAGUUUACAGGUGAUGGUGCCUUCAUGUUGAGCAUGUCAGGAUUUGGUAUUAUAUUCUGAAGAUGCUCUGAUCCUCCUUCUUUCCUUGCUAAUGCUGCUUUAAGACAGGCUAUCUGAAAUAAAGAGAAAAGGGAUCUUUAUAUCUGAAAGGACAAAGAAAUAUGAAACAGAGGGAUGUGUAUCAUAUAUAUCAAUUUAGAGGUAAAAGCUCAGGCAAAAAACCUGCUCCCUGAGCUCUUUAACUUCUCCAUUUUCUUUAUUUAUUCGAGCAGCACCAAGUUCAACAGUAGAAACCCGCUCAGCAAAUUUGAGCGUGCUAAUCGUUUCUCCAACAGCAUCCAUUUCAGGACUUAUAUGGACAAACAUCAAUGUUUUUGCUUGCCCACCUGAAUAUUUAAACUUAUAGAGCUCAGUGAAAUAGAGAUAGAACUUCUUUUAAUUCUCAUUAACAAAUUAACAACAUUGAAGGCAUAAAAUUUACCAAGAGAGUCUUGAAGCAAUUGCGUGAGUUUACUAUUUCUGUAAGGAACAUGCGAGUUCUUCUGGGCAAGAGCAGAUAUUACAUCCCCUAGAGCUGAGAGCGAUUUGUUUAUAUGUUGCGCCUCUUUUAGCCUUUCUCCCGUGGCCUCAGAUUUAUCAACUCUUUCACUGCCUGCAAGAUCAACUAAAUGCAUGCAUCCCCGAAGGAUCGUUCCAGAUGUCAUAUCUCUUCCUUGAACAUGAACAGUCAAGCAACUGCAAGCAAGAUCAUUUGGCAUCACAUACCCAUGUAAAUGGAAUUAUAUUAAUUUAUAGUGAAUCAAAUGCAACAUUAAAUCAUCAUAACACACCUAUGAGAACGGCUGCUACGGUCAUUCAAUGCUGUAGCACCCACAGCACGGUUCUUCUGCCCAAUGUUCAUUAGUUCAAUGACAUCAGAUGUUGACAUAACAGGGACUAAGUUUGCAUCAGGCACAUUAAGUCCUUUCUGGGAACUAUUACGAAUUUCUAAUGUAUUUACUUGUUAAGGAAAUUUAGUAUUACUGUCAGAAAAAGUUGAAGAAUGAGAACAUAUUAGCAAUAAAUAUGAUGCUUAAAAGUACAUCUAAAUUUGUUCCAAAAAUUACUACUACGCAUACCUGAGACAGACGUCCAACUACAAAGUCAAAACAAAAAUCUAAGAUGAACUAUUUUACAUAUUGAAACAUUUACUUGUAAAGGAAAUCAAACACAUUAAUGAAAUAUUUUGGAGCAGAAACAAAUAAAAGUGGGAAGGAUAUCUUUUGUUAAGACCAUCACUGACAAGAAGGUCUCUCACUUGCUCAUUGUAAAUUUCAAUCAUUUGAACAGAGAUUUCAUAAUAAAAUGCGCCCCUUCUUUGUUCUGAGAGUUUAAAUAGGUCACUCAGUGCCUUAUAAUUCACUCCCUGUGUUUGCUCAUUCAGAUUCCUAGGCCCACUCUGCAUAACAUAUAAAAUUAGCUCAACUGAGGUAGUUAGUCCACUAAAUGUCAACUUUUUAUAAGGGUAACAUCUCAAAUGCUCGAAGUAUUGAAAUAUCAUGAAAAAUCAUCUAAAUGAAAGCUUUUGGUUAGUCAUGCAAUUCUUUAUCUAAGAUGAGUUUUUGUCAAAUUUCUUACCAUAGUAUAUGUUUUCCCUGAUCCAGUUUGGCCAUAUGCAAAUAUACAAACAUUAUAACCAUCAAGAACAGAUCGAAUCAGAGGCUGUGUAUCUGAGAAUACCUCCUCUGCAGUAUGAUAAGAAAGAAGUGACUGGCUGCUCAAGAUAUUUACGUAUGAAAAGUAAGAAGCAAGACAGCAUCUCAUAAACCUUGGGUUGCUGAUGGACUGAAAAUUUUGUUGAAAUUGAAAGAUCUACGUCCUUCUUUUCCAUUCUUUGAAGGGGUGAGGAUUGUGAUAGUUCCAUCAUCGAUACAACCAAUAGUGCUACUACUUAGUUGUCCAGGUAGGAAGGGUCUAACUCGGCAAUAGACCCUGAUACUUCCUAUUAACGGGAAAAAGUGAGGUUAACACUGUAAAAAGUUAUUUCACACAAUACAAAAAUAACUAAACAGAUAGAAAGUUUACCCUUCAGAUCUUGCACUUGAUUGUAUAGCUUUCUGUUUUCUUCAAGUACUUUGUGAUAACCUGAAGCUGCAUGAGCAACGCUGAGAAGAUGCUUUCCUGUUAUACAAAAUGUGACGCAAAAGAACACAUAAAUAUUUCUUUCCAUGAGUUCAUUUAACCUUGACAGGUUCCCUAAUGAUAUGCUUUCCAUCUUACCAAGCUUACUGAAUUCCUCAGAGUACUUCAUUUGCACGAACUCCAUACCAGCUCUUGUAAUUUGAAGAGUACGUUUCAAUUCCUACAGAAGGCAUUGAAUACGGAUAUAAAUUGAUUAAUCUCACAUUUAAAUCAAGCCACCCAGGAACACCAUUGAAGCUGUGUUAUUACCUGAAUAUCUCUUUGUUGUUGCUCAAAUAUCUUAUGUUGCUUCAAAAUCUUCUCUUUUGAUGCCUCUUCUUCUUUCACAUUCUUACGAACAUAGCCCUCUUUCUUUGACCUCAUGAAAGUAAUUUCCUCCUUCUCCAUCUUAAAAAUGAUGAUGUAUUAUAGGGUUGGGUCAUUCCCACACUCAUUUAAGGACGAAGCUAUUGGAGCAAAUAUAUUAUAACAGGAUGUAAUGGUUCCAUUCUUUUAUUAUGACUAUUCAUGCUUAAAAAGUAUUUCAUAUAAGCUGCAUGAGAGAACAUUGCUUGAAAUCAAUCUAAUACAUACCUUCAUCUCACAAGAAGCAGAGGGGGGAUCUAUUGAAACCUUUUGUUUGCAAAAAGAUUUACUGUUGUCAGCAAGACCCUUCAGAGCUGUUUUCACCUGUUGAUUUUCCAAUACAAAUAAUUUUAUAGUCAUGAAUAUCAUCAUCAAUAAAUAUUUAUAGCUAUAAAAGAGUCACAACUCAAGAAGGGAUAAUAUAAUGAAGAGAAAUGAAGCACCUUCUUCAAAUAAACACACUAUAUUCACAAAUGACAGCCAAAUAGGAGGGUUGAAGGAUUUUAUUGGAAUAUGAAAUUAAAAUAUUACUUUUUUUCCUUCAAAUAAAACUGCAUACUAGAAAAACACUGGAAUAGAAUGUACCAGCUCGUUUUGGCUUGCUAUGCGGUGCUCAAAUUCUUCCAUUACUUUACCUAACAUAGACUCUAAAAGCUGCAAAUAGACAACAACAGUCUUAUCUCCCCCUUCUGCAUUCACUAAGAACAAUCAAUUAAUUAACAGGGAAAAAAUAAAUAAUCUUACCUGUGGAACUUCUUCAGGCCUCUUGCCGGAUAGGACCGCAUGUACAAGCAUACUCAGUGGACGCGAAGAAGUCUGUUUGGCAUAAUAUGCAGGAUGCUAAGCAAGGUGAAGCUAAUCAUUCAGUAGAAUGAAUUUCAAAAUUAGCACACUAACCAUUUCACUGGAUUCAAUUGAAAUGUCGCCACUUAAAUUAUGCUCCACACAUAAAACAUCAUUCUCAUUCAUUGACUGACUCCUUAACAAGGAAUUCUUGAAAGAUUCCGGAUUUUUCCUCAAGAAAUUUUUCCCUAAGUUGGAAGGUUUAGAAUUCCCACCAUAUUUCCAAGAACCAUGGCCGCCCAUUUGUUUCCAUUCACCAUAGGAUUUGAGAGCCAGAACGCAGUCCACAAUCCUGGCACUUUUCCCUCCCUGAACUUCCAGAAAGCAGGAUUGCAUAGAGAACACAAGGUUAAAAUGUAUUUUAUAUAUUUCAUCAUUAAAUUAUAAUGCAACACCUUGAAAAACUUUGACAAAGCCACAUAAUUAUCAGGUUGAAAUUAAAUGCAAUUCAAGAAAACUCAUUGUAAUAUCCAUCAAGCCUUAUUGCAGCUAAUUGAAGCAACUUACUGAAUCCACAUUCACUAAUCGUUCCAAAUCAAGAAAAUUCAAUGAAGCAAAACCAUGGAGAACAAUAUUUGAAAGAAGAAAUAAAUGAAAAGCUGGUUAACUCUAUCGACUUCCCCAAAAUGCACUUAGGAAGAAGAGUAAGAGUCUUGGAAAUCAAGAUAUAAAAUAGAACAUAAGGAUUCUUGAAUAAAAUGCCCAUGUGAACGAUCAAAACCAAAUCAUAAAUUAAAGUGAAGGAGGGACGAUUGUUAGACAAGAACUUUUAGUAUCUAAGAAUUACAAUGCCAUUCCUACCUGCUCCAAGUCAGAAGCCUCAAACAAAGGAAGACCAAUCUCUUGCACAGCCACAAGAAAGUUCCUUACAUUCUCAAAAUACUGGUAAGCCGAUAGGGCUGCACCAUCUGGGCGAAGAACUGAGUCUCCUGGAUUUACAACCACCUGAAAAGCGCAAAACCUGAGAAAAUAAACUGGUGCAGUCUAAAAAAAAGAACAAGAUAUAGCUUAAUAUUCAAUUGAGGAAAAUCAUAGAAGCCAGAGAUUUCAAUAUCUUUGUCGAAGUAGACUCACCUUUGGCACUGCACCAGGGUGAACCUUGUUGAGUGCAUUGCAAAGAAUCAACCCAUUUCUCAAUCCAAGCCUGAAUUCUUCCUCUGAAGGUUGGUCUGGCAAAUCCUUUGCAAGGACUACACCAACCACCUUUCUCAGCCACCCAGCUGCCUCAUACCUUCUUGUGGCUGGAAAAUAUAAAUCAAUGAAUUAAACGAAAAAUUUAAAAAGGAACAGAAAGAACUAUUUAUUCAUCAGUUAAGACGCAAAAAUUAAAACCCGUCACGCAGGAAAUCAUGAGACAUGCUAUAUUUUGUAGCUUGAUCCAAAAGAGAAGAUAAUUUUCAACCAACCAGCAAAUAGAAAUUAAGACAUGAAUUUUGUUGAACAUUAUCAUGAUGUAGAGAAGAAGUAGCAGCACAAAAACAUAAAAUUUUGACAUGAGAAACAUAUACAAAAAAAUGAAACAAAAAAAAUCAAUUUCAAGAGCUAUCUUGAUCAGGAAAUUCCUUUAAAAAAAACCCAGACGCAGGGUGUCUUACUUGAAUCCAUAAAAGAAGAGAUCAUGAAAAGAAGCAGCGAACUUUCCAAUCCACUGUAGCAAAGCAAUGAACAGGAAAUAAACAAAUUCAAAGUCGACCAAAUCUAUUGUAUCUAGUUUGCAAAUUACUUCCUCCAUGGCUCGCAUUUUGCCUCCUAUCUUUCGAUAAAAUUGUAGAUCAUCUGACCAUCUCAAAGAAAAAAGGAGAAAAAAAAGUAGUAGAAUUUACACGUGUUAAAUCAACAAGAGAGAAAAAAAAAGAAAGAAAGAAAAGAAAAAUUAGAAGUAUCUUGAACAACAAAUUUCAUAAAGUACAAAGAUCUCGUUUUUAACGGAAAAUGAGCAGAAAAUCUUUCACUUCUACAUCGCAACACGGCAGUAAGAACAGAUUCAUGUACAUAUCAAAUCAACAAGAGCAUUAUUCCAUCCCAGGGAGAAUUAAAAAACAAUGAUCAAAAGCUCGAAAACCCACCAGCUUCCUCCGCCUUCCUCGAAGCCAAAUCCACGUCGCUCAGCCUCGUCCCGUGCUGCUUGAGAACAUCCUCCACCACAGAAGCCACCGAUAUCGAAAAUAGCCCCUCCGACGCCAUUGCCGACCCCAAAAAAACUGCGGGAACAAAAAAAAUCACAACAACAGAGCCUCCAGUGCUAAAUCAGGCAAAAAUCCCCGCUUUCCCUUCCAUUCUCAACAUAAAAAAAAGCUCAAAAGACCUCUAAUAAACAAACAAUAAAAACUCUCGAUACAAGGGAUUAGGAAUAGAAUUGAGAUUAGGAGGAGAGAAAAGGAGAGCUGAAGCCUCUUUUGGAGGGGUGGGUGAGAGGAUAAAGGGGACGAGAGGGCGAGGAGAGCUCUUUCCGCUGGCUCUUAAUAUUUUCUCUCACGAAGACAACUACUACUCUUCUACUGUAAAGCCCUUCUAGUUUCUCCCCCACCACCCCACUCCAGGCCUCGUUCCGAACCUCCCACCCGUGGGCCGAACGGUUUCUCUUUCUUUUUCUUUUUUUUAUUGGAUGAAUCAAACAGUUCUAAUAAGGACAUAUUCAAAAAAAAAAAAAUGAUGAUCGGUUUCUCUCCGGAGGAGGCGGUGAAGUGGUGGGAAAAAAAAAUAAAGACUGACGGAUUUUAACGUUUCGUCUUUCACCUCGUCGGCUUUUGAUUUGUGCCGUUAACAUGUCGAAUGACGGGCUUGCCCUCGCGGUCGAACUUUUCCCUCUGCAGCUGUCAUGCCACGUGGCAGAGAAGAUAGGUUUCUAGAAACAUUUUUCUUUCGUUUCGUUUGGAGUCUUGUGGUUCAAGGCAAUGUUGAUAGUUUGGAUCCUCUAUGAAACUGAAACUAAGGUCUAUUUGAUGAUCCAGUUUAUUUUUUAAUUUUUAAAAAAUAUUUUCUUUGUUUCCAAACAUUGUGAAAGCAAAAAAAAAUUCUGUUUUUUUAUUUUUAAAAAAUUAAAAUUAUUUAUGGUUAUUACUACCAUCUCAACCGACCCUCACUACCACUACCCAAUACAAGUAACUAGCAAACAAUUUUUGAAUUUUUAUUUUAAAUAUAAAUAAAUAAAAUUAUUUUUAAUUUAGGUUUUCUACAUGAUAUAAAUAUUAAAUUUUGUAUAAAUAAUCUUCCAAAAUUGAUAAUUUGCAUGUAUUCCCUCGUAAAACAAUUGUUUUGCUUUCUACUUUUUUUUUUAUUCUUAUUUUUGCAUACGUACUCACGCCAUCUAACGUCGUUAAAAAAUUAACGGUUUCAAUUAAAAUGAUUAAAAUAUCCUUAAUUGAUAGAUUGGUAAAAAGAAAUAUUUAUAAGGCAAUCGUGAUAGAGAAUAAAAAAGUAAUUUCUAAAUUUUAUUUUAUUUUUAAUUAAAAUAAAUAUAAUUUUUAUUAAUAGUGUUAGAAGAACCAUUAGAUUAGCGACAUUUGUGCAAAAACAAUGUUUUCUGAGGGUACAUAAAUAAAUAUAAAUUUUAAGACGGUAUUUAUGCAAAUUUGAAUUUUUAAAAGGGUAUUCAUGCGAAAAGUUUAGAACUAAAAAUUAAAAUGAUGUUAAACAUAAGCUUAAUCCCCGCUUCAAACUGCCUGCUAUAAGCACUAGGUUUUGAUUGGAUACUGAAAUGCUUUAAUAGACGACAGAUUUUCGAUACUUCUAUCUUUAGAGCAGAGCUGCGGGUAGCAUGGGAGGGCAUCUCCUACGCGAGGCGCGUUCUAGGUGUGGAGUGCAUCCACCUGGAGGGUGACUCGGCCCUGUGAUCGAGAGGGUCCGCGGUCGAUAGUGGGCAGUUCCUACUUCGUGACAUACGGUGGAUGGCUCGAGAGUGUGGCUACUUCAAGGCCACUCAUGUAUAUUGAGAGGCCAAUAUAGCGGCCAACUACGUGGCCUCCUACGCGGCACAUCACUCUGGAGCUUUUCUUUGGGUAGACCAGGUAGAUGUACCUUAUUUAUUUAGUCCGCUUUUUUCUUUUCUUUUCUGAUUUCAAUGGCUGUACUCAUAUAUGUAUAGUGUGAAGAGCCAGUAUACCAAAAAAAAAUGCUUUAACAAAGCUAUUUUUUAAAUUCCAAAAACUCUGGUAUAUAUAAAGCGGUUUGAAAUGGAAACAUGUAGUAUUUUCCUUAACCCAACUAAACUUGAUAGUAGUAAUUACUUCACUAUACUUCUAAUUCACUAAUAUAGUAUAGCUACACUUGUUGAAAAUUCAUAGAAUUUGAGUGCAUGCUUGAUUAUAAUAGACCGAUAUGAAUUGGAUGAGAAUGAAAACCCUCAAUUUUUAAUAAUAUUUAUUGCAUAUAAGUUAGGACAACUUUAUUUCUUUUAAAUGGUAAGAGAACUCCAUAUAGAUCAUUUUGGCCUAUGAAAUCUAUCGUGAAUCCAAGGAUGUAGAUGAUUUGUUGCCUUAAUAUACAUCAAAGGAUUCAAAGUCUACUAAUUACGUCACAUGCAAAGCUUGUAAAAUCUCACUAAAUAUAUCAAGCAAGCAUCGAUACAAGUAGCAAUAGCAAAAUUGUUUGAGUUAUUACCUCUUAUUUGCCUUUGUUUUUUGGCACCUUAUGGUUGUGCAUUACACAAAGACAAGCAUUCCUGCGUUUGGGCAUGUGAAGUUUCAAUGCAUCCACAUUAGAGGACUUAUAAAUUAGGAUAAAGUUCAAUAUAUUAUGCAUCCAUGGCAGAUAUAGUGUUAAAAAAUAAUGUUUAAUUAAAGGAAAUAAAUUUGAUCGAAUGAAAGCAAAAUCAACAAAUUUGACAAUCUUAAAGAUAAGCUAGCAGCACAAGAUACUGAAACUAGAAGGUCAUGAUUCAAUUGUAGGAUAGCCAACUCUGCACUAAAUGGGACACAUUGGUUAGGACUCAAUACAGUAAUUGGAAAUAAUCUCUCUCGCAUUUAAGACGGGGGCAUAUAGCAAUUUAGCUGAGCUAUGAUGUAUCUCUUAAACUCUUUUUUUUCAUAAGUGAAAGGUACAUUUAAUAGGAAUACCUAAACAACUAGUAUCUAUAUGCACCAAAAAAACAACAAAUAUUUGCUUGGCUGAAUUCAUGGGAACAAGACCCUGAGAGGAGGAAAAAAAAGGAAAAAGGAAAGGAUUUUCUAUGCCCCAAGCCAGCAGUGCAUGGAAAUUUCCUGAUAUGACAUUUGGGUAUCCUGCUUUUUCUAGAGCUUUCUGCUAAUUUCACCUGUUGGAUCAUAUGUGGGUGAGCUAAAUGAUGCUGCUUCCCUGUCCUUAGAACAAUUUCCUGAAAGUAAGGAAGUUGUUGCUUGGUUGCAAUCUCAUCUAUCAGAAUUAGGUACUUGUUUCCUUAAUAAAAAAAUUAAGUACCUGUUUAAGUUGAUAAAUAAACUUAUAUAGGCUUAUCCUCCUAAGACUUAAUUAUAUGAAAAAUGAUAAAUUAUGUUGAUUCCAUUACAUGUUAANNNNNNNNNNNNNNNNNNNNNNNNNNNNNNNNNNCUUGUCAGGUAGAGGACAAGCUUCCAUUCUUUGGAUUCAGACCCAAGCAGUCUUCUCCUGCUUCUCUUGUUAAUUAUGAGAAGCAUAAGAAGGAUCUUCCACUGGUUGCAGGUAUUCAAGUUCACUCCUCCCUCUUAGCUUUUCAACUUCAAUAUCCUUCCUUUUAUUCUGAAGAAAAUUCAGUAUCAUUACUUUUUUUUUUGAGGAAAUCAACAUCUCUACUUCUUGAGUUACUGUUAACAAUGAUUAGAGUCUUUUCCUCGUGUACCUUUUACCCUCUCAUCCUUGGUGGUUGGCUGCAUCCCAAACAGUGCCCUUUCCUCUGACAACAUGACAUGCUUUUAUUUUGCUGUUAAUUAGGUUACUAGAAACACUACAGUCAAGAUGUCAAUACUAAAAUAUCCUGCUCAUAUCCUUGUGACAAGCUGAGAUUAGUGCAGUUCAUGAGGUUGCUGAUCAUGAUAUGCUACAUCAACAUUUUUUUAUGGAAAUAAAGUUGGCAUGAAAAUUGUGCAGGCAUGAAUGAAAUGUCAUAGUAUUUUUAUAAUUUUUUUAGCCAAUAAUUUGAUUCAUCUACAGCAUGAUUCUAGUUGUUAGACUAAGGUGAGCAAGAAACAUAAAGAAGAUAAAGUUUAUCGACCUUUGUUAAAAGAUAUAGAGACAAUAACUAUUAGCUUGGUUGGCAUCCUUCUCCUAAGAUCUUCUUCUUAAGAAGGUUCAGGAUGGCGCAUUACCACUCAAUUGCUAUAGAAAAAGAGAAAGGAGAUGAUGAUGCAAAUAAUGGUGUCUUUAAAUAAUUCCAAGAUCGAUGAUAUUUUUGUUAUGUUAUUUUUGUAGAUCCAUAAUUUAGAAGAUAUUUGGACCAGAUAAUUGUCGUUCAAUCGAAUGUCCAGCUAGUGGUUUAAUCAGAUUCUCCACAAACUGCCCCAUAUCAUUUUAGUACUUCUCUAAACUAUCAAAGGUUCAAAAGUUUCAAUCAGUGAAAAAAAAAAACUGAAGCUGGCUAUAUCUUUCUUGAGAAAAAGGAGAGAGACUCGCUCAUACCAUAAUCAUCUUGUCUAUAUUUUGUGAAAAAAAAAGAGGAUCCACUUAUAUUAUAAUUAUCCAUGUCUAUAUUUUUAAAAAUACCAUCAAAAAAUCAAAUGAAAAAUCCCUAGUUCCCAAACUUAAAGUUGUAAUCAUUAGGACAAGCCCAGAUUCGAACUUAGGUGUGUUGACACUUGCUCUAUCGAAAGUUUAUAGGUUUAUUGAUUUCAUGUCACUAUAAGUCAUCUUUCCAAUUAGCCCUAUUUGACAUGAUAGUAUUUCUAUUGUUGCCUACAAACCCUUUUUUGGCUUCUUACUCAAACAUCAUAUAAAUUUAACUACUUUUAGUAAAAAUCUAAUGUAUCUAAUUUUUCCAUAAACAUCUCGGAUCACGAGCCAAAUGCAAAAGAUUUAUAUUCUAAUGGAAGUUUGUUUGAUCCCUAGGAAAAUGUUUAAGGGCAACAUGGGAUUGAGAACCCUAAACAAAUCGACCCCAAUGAGGCAGGGUUAUUAAUCCAUUCAAAGCCAUUGCCUAUGGUGGGCCGGCACCAAAGAACAUGUCCUUAACCUCUUAACGCAUUCAUCUAAGUGCUAACAUACUUUGUAAUUGUUGUUUGUUGUUAUGUCAUUUUCCAGUCUGUUUGCUUCUUUCUACCGAAAAGCAUUUGCUGGACCGGGACCUGGUUUCGAAGAAGUUGGUACCCUCUCUCCCUUAAAGGCACCAGGUUGCUUUUGGACCUUCUAAGGUGCAGUCCCAUUGGUGGUGUGAUCUAGGUACAUGGUUUGGAGGCUGUUCGAGCCCUGUGGUUAGGUAUAAUGUCCAUUGACCACAAGGUUGUAUGCCUAUGGUGGACUCAAUGUCUAGCUGAGACAUUUUGGAACCGACUUAAGCUGAUAAGAUGAAUUGACCAAUGAAAGCUCGCCACCUAGCCACGGGUUGACAAUUUAAAGCUUGCCACAUAGCCCACCCAAAAGACAUGCGGAGAGUUCUCUACAUUUCAAACUCUUUCCGCAGAUGACAACAACUCGGCCGUAUCGCUAGCUAUUUUCUAACAAAUGUGAUACUCGAGUAAAUCCCGCUAUCGAGAAAUACAGGAGAGAUUCACAUGCGAGAUAUGUGAUUUGUUACCUUAUCAAAUGACGUAUCUUCCUCAAAUUACUUAGCGAUGAGUUCUGGCCUUUGCCUAUAUAUUGCACUCCUGGGUUCUUUAGGUAAGUUUUCUUUCAAUUCUCUUGUGUUGCAUGUGCUUAUCUCAGGCUUCCUCCUGUUUUCUGAGAGUUGGUAUAUGACUUAGGCAUCGGAGAGUUACUCGUCGGACAUGCUCUGAUGGAUGAACUUUUUUAUUUUUGUUGUUUUAGGUUGGAGCCAACGUUAGAACGCUAUCUAAAGCCAUUCCUCUGCCUUCCAACUCCACCAGAUCAUCACCGUAGAGGCGUGUAACAGUCCUAUUCGAUCUCUCUAAUCCGAACCAUUUCAAGUUGGAGCCAGCAUUAGAGUGCUACCGAAGCCAUUCCUCCGCCAUCCAACUCUAUCAGAUCAUUGUCGUAGAGGUGUGUAACGAUCCUAUUCGAUCUCUUUGUUAUGGAUGGCAGACAAGCUGGAAACUUCAGCGACUGCCAUCAACUCGGUGCCUGGUUUGGAAUUGUUCCCAGCAGCUACAGGGGUUCUUUAUCAAAUCAAUAUAAUCAUUUAGAACAAAGAAAUCAUGGAUCAUCUAAUUAUUGGGCAGUUUAUGAUUAAUUGAAGACAAAAUUCACAUACAACAAAUAAUCAAUAUGAAGUCGAAGAUGGCUCCACUUUUACCGGAUAGGAAAUUAUUGUAGGGCAAUAGACCUCUUGAACUACCAACUUCCAUAAGUCAAUUAUUAAGCUAGAAUUAUUAGAUAAUAAUAUAAUAUUCUAGAAUGAGUUUGAAUGAUGAUCGAAUCUUAUAUGUGUACCCUAAUUUGGGAUGUGAAACUCAAGCUUAGCGGCAUGUCAAGUUCAUGAUAAAUUAGGGGAAAAGGAUUUUUCGCAUAUAUAUGUUCUUAAAUUAUAUAUAUAUAUAUAUAUAUAUAUCCUAUAUUUAUAUGGGUAUACAUGUAAAAAAGAUUAACUUAUAAGGAUAUAUAUGUAAAUAGUAAUUUUGUGAGAAUGUAUCUAUAAUUUCAAAUAUUUAUAAAGAUAUACUAUAAGGACCAGUGUGGGUGUGUGUUUAGUCCUACAUCGUUUAUUCGCCGGGAAGAUCUUAAGUAUUUAUAAUAAUACCUUCUGGCUAGCUAUUUUGGAUGAAGUCUUAGUUGUUACAAAUGGUAUCAAAGCAGAUCUGACCGAUGACUGAUAUAGAUUAAGGAGCACUGCAGCAUGGGCUGAUGGAGGCUGUCCACGGGCUGAUUGUAGUGCCUGUGAUUAGAUUUGAAUACAUGUAAACUCUUAGUCUGACGAGGACGUUAGGAUUUAAAUGGGGAAAUAUGUGAGAAACUAUAUGAGAGUGUGUUUAGUCCCAUAUUGUUUAUCCGUCAAAAAAUUUUGGGUACUUAUAAAUUACUUCUAAAUAGCUAUUUUGAAUGAGAUCAAAUUAUAUAAAAAAAUAUUUUUAAUAUAUAAAUUUUCUACGGAAGCAGUAUUAUUAGUAUCAGAUUCUGUCAUGCUCUCACUAUCAGAUCAGCCUGGUCAGCCUUAAAGAGUAGUUGCAGGUUGACAACCAAUGGAUUCAAAAACCCGCCCAUAGGCUAAUAUCAAGAGUGCCGCUUAGCUAAACUUCUAUUCGAUAUCUUAUACGGGCACGGGUACAAUUCGCUAGAAAAUGAUGAUUUUUUAAAAUAAUAUUUUUAAUAUUUCCUUUCAUCACAUCACUAAACCUGGUAACGAAGCGGCUCCUUGGCACGUUCACUUCAGAGACAAUCCCAAGAAGGCGCAGACCAUGCACGUGCCUACUGACGUCCCAACGUUCCGAAAAAAUUCAAACGGAGGCUCGGGGUCGGAACCAGAAAGGUUCGGGCUCGGCACCAGCGAGACUCGGGAGCUCCCGCUUUGAGUGGGUAGCUUCGAUUAAUCGAUGGGGGAAAAAAGAGAAAGUUCCAAGUGGGGCCCGAGAGGCGCGUCUUCGGGGGAUGGGCGGGGCCCACCUUCCUCGCGCCGGCCGGCCUGGGUGUAUCUUUCGCGCGACAGAAUGAUGGCCGUUGGAUCUCUCCCUGAACAGCUCUCAAAGCAGUCCGAACUCUUCAUCAGCGGCCAAAGCGCGAUCCAACGGUGGAUUUGCGCGAAGGAAGGUGAAUCCUUGUUUCGCGCGAAAGAUGCAACCCCUGUCCGGCCACGACAAAGGGAAAGGGCAAAGCCAAAGGCAGCCGGCCCCGCUCCCACCCGGCUUGUAAGGGGCGGGUCCUUCGCCGGAAGACUGGGUGGGACCCGCGGCCGAACACUAUGAACCCCCCGCCGAGCAAAGAUUUCUCUCAUGCGGCCUGCUGAUAGAAGACGGCAAUGCAUAUAAAAAACUCCAGAUAAAAUGAAACCCUUCUAAAGAGAGUAUAAGAAAUGAUGAGCGUACUGUACAAUUGUUUUGGUCACUUAUACAUGGAAUUUUUUCAAUAAGAAACUCUCAAUUUUUUUAGUUAUUUUAUGAAAUUUUUUUUGAAAUAAUUGGCUCGUACAACUUUAGAAUGGAUGUAUUAAGAUAAUCGGAAAAUGAAAUAUCCCAAAAGUGAAAUGAAAUAUCACCAUAAGUCUUCCUGCUGAUGUCUCCCGAAUGCUCAGUCAUAUAGAAAGCUACCCGGCUAGCCGCACCAUUCACCUCGCAAUAAGCAUGAAUCGCCUAGAAUUCAUCAAGGUUUUGAUAAUAUUUCAAAUGUCUCGGAGGAGUGGAUGGUCCCACCCAUAACCGGCCGGCCUAGCCACCCACCUGCAGCAUCUUUAAAAAAAUUUGAUUCAAGUGGUGUUUCCAAGCAAACUAUUUUGCUGUUAACCAACAGAGUAUUUUUAGCCAAAAUAUGAACACUCUUUUGAUGUCCCCAGCUUCACAUGCCAACCAAAGCACUAUAUUCUAAGUCAAAUUCAUUGCUGACCCUUUGUUGGAACAAAUCUCAACAAACUUAAUCACUAGGCAAGGAUUUGAACUAAAAAAAGAAGGAAACGCAAGUGUGAUUCAUAGGUGGACUAGCUAUUAAGAUGAUAUUUGAUAAUUAAAAAUUUCAAUAAUUUGCAGUCAGAUAUUUGUCUUUUUUUUAAAAAAAAUUCUAUAACCUUUAGUUUCUGCAUGAGGGUGUAACCAUUGAGGCGACACCUAAUACACAAAGUUA